RNAcentral lists this long non-coding RNA (64755 nucleotides) under Sorghum bicolor (sorghum). RNAcentral's name for it is "long non-coding RNA (SBIC_LNC002871)". Lineage: Eukaryota; Viridiplantae; Streptophyta; Magnoliopsida; Poales; Poaceae. The record is from RNAcentral.
UAUCAAGUUGAGUCCAUUAGGGGCGCGUCCUAGGGUUGGAGGACGACUCUAGCACCCCUUUGGUCGUCCUCCCCUCUAUUUAUUUACAUCUGGAGCCGCCAUGAACAACUGGGUUUUGAUUAGAUAAAGUUUAGCCUUCGCAACUUGCUUGUAAACGCGCGUGCUGAUCCAGCCGCCCGUCUUCUUGUUUUCGAAACCCCACUUCAUUAUAGAUUGAGUUUGAAACCUUCAUUUACAUCUGGUAAUUUAGUACUUGUUCUACUUGUUCUUGCUGGUUCUUCGAUUGCUUGCAGGACGAGUGCCCUAGUGGCCGGGUGUUGCGCUCCACAAGAUCGUGACAGCCAUUGGAGGCGGUGUAUCGGUUGCUAAGGCGCAGUCUUGAGGGCUGUAGUCGGGCCGUGAACGUCAUCUCCAUUCACUAAUCGAGUUAUCCAGCGCCUCUCAUCGAAAGAUCAGGCGAAAACCCUAGUGGGUUCACAUCAGUUGGUAAUCAGAGCAAGGUUCUUCGGUAAGAGACUUCUAAUCCUUUGUUGUUAUUAAUUAAUUUCCUAUAGUCCAGAAAAGCCAAAAAAAAAUAUAGUAGAUUAGUUUUUCCAUAAUCCUAUUAAACCUUUGUGCCUUGGCUAGUACCGUUUUAGUUAGGGCUUGUUGAAUUUGCGUUGCUUCGGUUUGUGUCGAGUUGCUGGUCUUAGUGCCUAGUCCUUUAGAGUUUCGAGUUUUUGUCACCAUCUAGUCACAACUGCGUCCAAUCUAUUGUGGGUUGGAAUUUGAGUAGAUCUUGAUAAUAGGUGCAGCCACUUGUUGGUCUAUUCUACGUUUCCAUCAACGUGAUCCAAAAGGAAAGAUAGCACUUCAUACUUGUGCUAGAUAUAUUGAAUUUUGAGGUUCAGCCUUACACUAGUGAGAGGGUGAGAGUGGUGAAGUGAUAUUUUGUACUAUUUUGUUUAUAUAAUCAGGUUUUGAGGUUCCCCAAAAAAAAGAAAAGAGAAAAAAAAAUAAAGAAAAAAAAGAAAGAAAGAAAGAAAAAAGAAAAAAAAAUCAAAAAAAGGGGAUUGUUGUUCCUUUUGUUUCCAGUAGGGCUGCUCAUUUUGUUUCUAGUGGUGUGCUGUGUUUUCCCUUUGUGUCCAGGCUCGCGUCUCUAGCACGGUCUAGGCUAGGACCAGCACAGUACCACCGUUGAGCGUUUAUUCAGCUCGCUUUUAUAACUAACGUGGUGCUAGUUCGUUCCUUGUUUCAGCCCACCUAUAGCUCCACAUACUCUACAGCUUGACAGGUCUUGUGCUGCAGCACCGAUACACUUCGUCCAUUGCUGUACACUUGUUAGCAGACGACCCCUCCUGUCAAGCAAGGUAAGAAUUGGUAAGAACUUGUGUUACAGGUUGAGUGUGAGCGACUUGCUGUAGCUACAUCCUAGUAGUUGUAGGGCUUUUAUUUCUUCACUUGCCUUUUUGUUGUCUUUGUCUUUGAACCAUGCCAGGGGCAGAUGAUGGUAACGAAACACCACUUACACCUCGCACUAAGGGCAUCAUACAACAUUUUGAAAGGAAAGUGAAGCUGCACACAGAGGGACUUGAUAACGACUUGCAGGUGACAAAUGAAAAGCUGGGACAGUUGGAGGCUACGCAGAUUGCCACAAACAACAAGCUCACAAGUUUGGAGGAAUCCGUUGCUAGUGUGGACAAAAGCCUUGCUGCUCUCCUAAGGCGAUUUGAUGCUUUCCACACAAUGGACAAAGAGAAGCAUAAGGAAGAAAACAAGGAGGAAGACCGAGUGGAUGGCAAUUAUGAUGAUGAUUACACUGCUGAUACGGAACGAGAUGAUCAAGACACUCAUCAUCGACGUCACCUACGUCACACCCGUAGAGGUAUGGGUGGCCACCACCGAUGCGAGGUACACAAUAAUAAUGAUGCUUUUAGUAAGAUUAAAUUUAAAAUACCUCCUUUUGAUGGUAAAUAUGACCCUGAUGCAUACAUUACUUGGGAGAUUGCUGUUGACCAAAAGUUUACAUGUCAUGAAUUCCCUGAGGAUACACGUGUUAGGGCUGCUACUAGUGAGUUCACCGAUUUUGCUUCCGUUUGGUGGAUAGAACAUGGCAAGAAAAAUCCUAAUAACAUACCUAGAACUUGGAAUGCGUUGAAACAAGUCAUGAGGGCAAGAUUUGUUCCUUCUUACUAUGCACGUGACAUGAUUAAUAAGUUGCAGCAAUUGAGACAAGGUGCUAAAAGUGUAGAAGAAUAUUAUCAGGAAUUACAAAUGGGUAUGCUGCGAUGUAAUUUAGAGGAGGAAGAAGAACCUGCUAUGGCUAGAUUUUUGGGCGGGUUAAAUCGUGAAAUCCAGGACAUUCUUGCUUAUAAAGAUUAUACUAACGUAACCCGUUUGUUUCAUCUUGCUUGUAAAGCUGAAAGGGAAGUGCAGGGACGACGUGCUAGCACAAGGAGUAAUAUUUCUGCAGGGAAGGCUAAUUCAUGGCAGCAACGCGUGGCUUCAACUCCAUCUACACGUAUUUCUACUCCAUCAUCUAGUGACAAGACUCGAGCUGCCCCCACCAAUUCAGUUGCGAAGACGAUACAAAAGCCUGCUGCGAGUACUUCAUCCGUGGCAUCGACGGGUAGAACAAGCAACAUACAAUGUCACCGGUGCAAGGGAUAUGGGCACAUGAUGCGUGACUGUCCAAACAAGCGAGUUAUGAUUGUCAGGGAUGAUGGUGAGUACUCAUCUGCUAGUGAUUUUGAUGAGGAUACACUUGCACUGCUUGCGACUGACCAUGCAGGUAAUGAAGAUCAAAUAGAAGAACAUAUUAAUGCAGGUGAAGCGGACCACUAUGAGAGCUUGAUCGUGCAGCGAGUGCUUAGUGCACAAAUGGAGAUGGCGGAACAAAAUCAGCGACACAUUUUAUUCCAAACAAAGUGUGUCAUCAAAGAGCGUUCUUGUCGCAUGAUCAUUGAUGGAGGUAGCUGCAACAACUUGGCAAGCAGCGAUAUGGUGCAGAAGCUUGCCCUCAACACCAAGCCACACCCGCAUCCCUACUACAUCCAAUGGCUGAACAACAGUGGUAAGGCAAAGGUAACUAGACUUGUGAGAAUUAAUUUUUCCAUCGGAUCCUACAAAGAUAUUGUUGAAUGUGAUGUUGUGCCUAUGCAAGCUUGUAACAUUCUGCUAGGUAGACCUUAGCAAUUUGAUAGAGAUUCUAUGCAUCAUGGUAGAUCAAAUCAGUAUUCUUUUCUAUACCAUGAUCGCAAAAUUGUGUUGCAUCCUAUGUCCCCUGAAACUAUUAUGCAAACUGAUGUUGCUAGGGCUACUAAAGCAAAGAGCAAGAGCAAUAAAAAUGAUAAAUCUGUAAUUGGUAACAAAGAUGAGAUAAAACUGAAAGGACGUUGUAUGAUAGCUACCAAAUCAGAUAUUAAUGAGUUCAAUGCAUCCACUUCUGUUGCUUAUGCUUUGAUAUGCAAGGAUGCUUUGAUUUCAGUUGAGGAUAUGCAAUGUUCUUUGCCCCCUGCUGUUGCUAACGUUUUGCAGGAGUAUUCUGAUGUGUUUCCAAGUGAUGUACCAGCGGGGCUGCCUCCACUACGCGGGAUUGAGCACCAAAUUGAUCUUAUUCCUGGAUCAGUUUUGCCAAAUCGUGCACCAUACAGGACAAACCCGGAGGAAACAAAGGAAAUUCAGCGACAAGUGCAAGAACUACUAGACAAAGAUUUCAAGCCUUAUUUGGGUGAGGAAGAUGAGCUUGAGUCGAGGACGACUCAAAUGCAAGAAAGGGAGGAUGAUGAGGACAUCAACACCAGCGAUACAUAUCCUACAUCCACCAGCGAUACAUAUCCUACAUCCACCAGCGAUACAUAUCCUACAUCCUCUCCGACACAACCUAUAGCUGGUCCUCUUACUCGUGCUCGUGCCCGUCAACUCAACCUUCAAGUAAGUUCAGCUUUAAACUCUUGUCAAUCAUAUUUAGACAAUGGAGACACGUGCACUUUGGUGUUGCUCAGGAAUAAUGGACAAGAUCAGCAAGGGAAGGUUCAACUGCAUUCAGAAUUUGAGGCAACACCAACUUCAAGGGCUGAUUGCAUAUGGGAAUAGUGAUAACUUAACAAAGGUGAUUGGAGAUCAGGUCCAAGCCUCCACAACAUCCUCUGUCAAGUUACCACGUCGUUUCUAAAGCAAGGAAACAAAGAGUCCAAACCCAACACGUUUUGGGAGUUGGAUUCGGACUGGAAAAUAACUCUAACUUGUAUGGAUCACCACGGCGUCAUAUGGACUCCAACUGGGACGUUCCUAUACUUGUUGGAAAGCUCAUGAAGUCUACUUUCCAAUGGGUCCAACCACAUAUCUAUGCGGCUUAUGAGUCGGGCGCAGUCCUUGUUUUUGUGCCGACACCUUUUUCUGUUUUGGUGCUGCGUCACCCUAUUUUGGACCAAUGGCCCAUGUAUCAAGUUGAGUCCAUUAGGGACGCGUCCUAGGGUUGGAGGACGACUCUAGCACCCCUUUGGUCGUCCUCCCCUCUAUUUAUUUACAUCUAGAGCCGCCAUGAACAACUGGGUUUUGAUUAGAUAAAGUUUAGCCUUCGCUACUUGCUUGUAAACGCGCGUGCUGAUCCAGCCGCCCGUCUUCUUGUUUUCGAAACCCCACUUCAUUAGAGAUUGAGUUUGAAACCUUCAUUUACAUCUGGUAAUUUAGUACUUGUUCUACUUGUUCUUGCUGGUUCUUCGAUUGCUUACAGGACGAGUGCCCUAGUGGCCGGGUGUUGCGCUCCACAAGAUCGUGACAGCCAUUGGAGGCGGUGUAUCGGUUGCUAAGGCGCAGUCUUGAGGGCUGUAGUCGGGCCGUGAACGUCAUCUCCAUUCACUAAUCGAGUUAUCCAGCGCCUCUCAUCGAAAGAUCAGGCGAAAACCCUAGUGGGUUCACAUCACGAGCUUCCACUUGAGCCUCUUCAGCGGAGAGUACCAGUUGUGUCCAAAAUGGUUUCUUAGAGUAUGGUGUAUUAGGCACAAAUUGUGCACCAAUCUUGCACCAAAACUAACACUUUCUCCAAAUGGACAAAAGUGAGAUAUUAGAUGACACACAUCAUCUAGAAGUUAUAUCGGGUGUGUCAAAAUUGAUUUUCAAGCAUAUGUUUUGUUUCAUGCACACCGAGCACCUAUCUUGCACCAAAAGUAACACUACCUCCAUGUGGACCGAAGUGAGAUUCCAUAUGACAUACGUCAUCUAAGAGUUCUAUCGGGUGCAUCCAAACUGAUUUCUAAGCAUAUGGUACAUUCCAUGCAAACUGUGCACCUAUCUUACAUCAGGAUUAGCACUAUCUCCAAACAGACUAAACCAAGCAUUCAUUCAAGCCCCUUUACCUAGGAGUACAAUCGGGUGCGUCCAAAAUCAUUUCUUAGCCUAUGGUGUAUUAGGCACAAACUGUGCACCUAUCUUGCACCGAAACUAACACUGUCUCCAAACAGACCGAAGCAAGACUUUAUAUGACACACGUCAUCUAAGUGUUCCAUCGGGUGCGUCCAAAUUGAUUUUCGGGAAUAUGGUAUGUCCCGUGCAAACUAUGCACCUAUCUUGCAUUAACAUUAGCACAAUCUCGAAAUAGACUAAACCGAGCUUCCACUUUAGCCUCUUCAUCUAGAAGUACCAUUAGGUGCGUCCAAAAUGGUUUCUUAGACUUUGGUGCAUUAAGAGCAAACUGUGCACCUAUCUUGCAGCGAAACUAACACUAUAUCCAAACGGACCAAAGUGAGUUUCCAUAUGACACACGUCAUCUAGGAGUUCCAUCGGGUGUGUCCAAAUUGAUUUCUGAGCAUAUGGUACGUUCCAUGCAAACCGUGCACCUAUCUUGCAUCAAGAUUAGCACCGUCACCAAAUAGACCGAACCGAGCUUCCACUUAAGCCUCUUCACCUCAGACCAACAGGUGCGUCCAAAAUGGUUUCUUACUAUGGUGCAUUAGACGCAAACUGUGCACCAUCUUGCACCAAAACUAACACUAUCUCCAAGCGGACCAAACCGAGAUUUCAUAUGACACACGUCAUCUAGGAGUUCCAUCUUGUGCGUCCAAAUUGAUUUCUGAGCAUAUGGUACGUUCUAUGCAAACCAUGCACCUAUCUUGCAUCAAGAUUAGCAGUAUGUCCAAGCAGACCGAACCCAGCUUGCACUUGAGCCUCUUCAUCUAGGAGUACCAACAGGUGCGCCCAAAAUGGUUUCUUAGGCUAUGGUGCAUUAGGCACAAACUAUGCACCUAUCUUGCACCAAAACUAACACUGUCUCCAAAUGGACCGAAACGAGAUUCUAUAUGUAACACGUCAUCUAGGAGUUCCAUCAGGUGCGUCCAAAUUGAUUUUCAAGCAUAAGGUACCUUCCUUGUAAACUGUGCACAUAUUUUGCAUCAAGAGUAGCACUAUCUCCAAAUGGACUGAAUCGAGCUUUCAGUUGAGCCACUUCACCUAGGAGUACCAUCUGGUGCGUCCAAAAUAGUUUCUUAGCCUGCGGUACAUUAGGCGCAAACCGUGCACCUAUCUUGCACCGAUACUAACACUUUCUCCAAAUGGACUAAAGCAAGAUUACAUAUGACACACGUCAUCCAGAAGUUCUAUUGGAUGCGUCCAAAUUGAUUUCUAAGCAUAAGGUACGUUCCAUGCAAAUUAUGCAACUAUCUUGCAUCAAGAUUAGCACUAUCUCCAAAUAGACCGAACCGAGCUUCCACUUGAGCCUCUUCAGCGGAGAGUACCGGUUGCGUCCAAAAUGGUUUCUUAGAGUAUGGUGUAUUAAGCACAAACCAUGCACCAAUCAUGCACCAAAACUAACACUUUCUCCAAAUGGACCAAAGUGAGAUAUCAGAUGACACACAUCAUCUAGGAGUUAUAUCGGGUGUGACCAAAUUGAUUUUCAAGCAUAUGUUUUAUUUCAUGCACACCGAGCACCUAUCUUGCACCGAAAGUAACACUAUCUCCAUGUGGACCGAAGUGAGAUUCCAUAUGACACACGUCAUCUAAGAGUUCUAUCGGGUGCAUCCAAACUGAUUUCUAAGCAUAUCUACAUUCCAUGCAAACUGUGCACCUAUCUUACAUCAAGAUUAGCACUAUCUCCAAACCGACCAAACCGAGCAUUCAUUUAAGCCUCUUUACCUAGGAGUACAAUCGGGUGCGUCCAAACUCGUUUCUUAGCCUAUGGUGUAUUAGGCACAAACUGUGCACCUAUCUUGCACCGAAACUAACACUGUCUCCAAACAGACCGAAGCGAGACUCCAUAUGACACACGUCGUCUAAGAGUUCCAUCAGGUGCGUCCAAAUUGAUUUCCGGGAAUAUGGAAUGUCCCGUGCAAACUAUGCACCUAUCUUGCAUCAAGAUUAGCACAAUCUCCAAAUAGACUAAACCGAGCUUCCACUUUAGCCUCUUCACCUAGAAGUACCAAUAGAUGCGUCCAAAAUGGUUUCUUAGACUUUGGUGCAUUAAGAGCAAACUGUGCACCAUGUUGUAGUGAAACUAACAGUCUCCAAGCAAACCGAAGUGAGAUACCAUAUGACACACAUCAUCUAGGAGUUCCAUCGGGUGCGUCCAAAUUGAUUUCCGAGCAUAUGGUACGUUCUGUGCAAACAAUGCACCUAUCUUGCAUCAAAAUUAGCACUAUCUCCAAACAGACCAGGCCAAGCUUCCACUUGAGCCUCUUCACCUUUGAGUACCAACAGAUUUUCCAAAAUGGUUUCUUAGACUAUGGUUCAUUAGGCGCAAACUAUGCACCUAUCUUGCACCAAAACUAACACUGUCUACAAACGGACCAAAGCGAGAUUUCAUAUGACACACGUCAUCUACGAGUUCCAUUAGGUGCGUCCAAAUUGAUUUUCUGAGCAUAUGGUACUUUCCAUGCAAACUGUACAGCUAUCUUGCAACAAGAUUAGCACUAUCUCCAAAUAGACCGAACCGAGCUUUCACUUGAGCCUCUUCACCUAGGAGUACCAUCGGGUGUGUCCAAAAUAGUUUUUUAGCCUAUGGUGCAUUGGGCACAAACCGUGCACCUAUCUUGCACUGAAACUAACACUCUCCAAACAGACCGAACGAGAUUCCAUAAGAUACACGUCAUCUAGGAGUUCCAACGGGUGCGUCCAAAUUGAUUUCUGAGCAUAUGGUAUGUUUCAUACAAACUGUGCACCCAUCUUGCAUUAAGAUUAGUACUGUCUUGAAACAAACCAAACCAAGCUUCCAUUUGAGCCUCUUCAACUAACAGUACCAACAGGUGCGUUCAAAAUGGUUUCUUAGACUAUGGUGCAUUAGGUGCAAACUGUGCACCUAUCUUGCACUGAAACUAAUAUUGUCUCCAAACGGACUGAAGCGAGAUUCCAUAUGACACACAUCAUCUAGGAGUUCCAUCGGGUGCAUCCAAAUUUAUUUCCAAGCAUAUGGGAUAUUCCAUGUAAACCAUGCACCUAUCUUGCAUCAAGGAUAGCACUAUCGCCAAACAGACCGAACUGAGCUUCCACUUGAGCCUCUUCUCCUAGGAGUACCAAUAGGUGCAUCCAAAAUGAUUUCUUAGCCUAUGGUGCAUUAGGCGCAAUCCGUGCAUCUAUAUUGCACCGAAACUAACACUGUCUCCAAAUAGACCGAAUCGAGAUUCCAUAUGACACACGUCAUCUAGAAGUUCCAUCGGGUGCGUCCAAAUUGAUUUCCAAGCAUAUGGUUUGUCCCAUGCAAACUAUUUACCUAUCUUGCAUUAAGGUUAGCACUAUCUCGAAACAGACCGAACCGAGAUUCCGCUUGAGCCUCUUCACCUAGGAGUACCAAUAGAUGCAUUCAAAAUGGUUUCUUAGACUAUGGUGCAUUAGGCGCAAACUGUGCAUCUAUCCGGCACUGAAACUAAUAUUGUCUCCAAACGUACUGAAGUGAGAUUCCAUAUGACACACGUCAUCUAGGAGUUCCAUCUGGUGCAUCCAAUUUGAUUUUCGUGCAUAUGGGACAUUCUACACAAACCGUGCACCUAUCUUACAUUAAGAUUAGCACUAUCUCCAAACAGACCAAACCGAGCUUUCACUUGAGCCCCUUCACCUAGGAGUACCAUCGGGUGCGUCCAAAAUCGUUUCUUAGAGUAUGGUGCAUUAGGCACAAACCGUGCAAUAUCUUCUUAGAGUAUGGUGCAUUAGGCACAAACCAUACACCAUCUUGCACCGAAACUAACACUAUCUUUAAACAGACCAAAGCAAGAUAUCAGAUGACACACAUCAUCUAGGAGUUCCAUCGGGUGCAUCCAAAUUGAUUUUCAUGCAUAUGGUAUGUUCUAUGCAAACCGUGCACCUAUCUUACAUGAAGAUUAGCACUAUCUCCAAACAGAUCGUACCGAGCUUUCACUUGAGCCUCUCCACCUAGGAGUAACAUCGGGUGCUUCCACAAUGGUUUGUGAGCCUAUGGUGCAUUAGAGGGAAACCGUGCACCUAUCUUGCACCAGAACUAACACUAUCUCUAAAUGGACUAAAGUGAGAUUUCGUACGACACACGUCAUCUAGGAGUUCUAUCGGGUGCAUCCAAAUUGAUUUCUAAGCAUAUGGUACAUUCAUGCUAACUGUGCACCUAUCUUGCAUCAAGAUUAGCACUAUCUCCAAACAGACCAAACCGAGCUUUCACUUGAGCCCCUUUACCUAGGAGUACCAUCGGGCACGUCAAAAUCGUUUCUUAGCCUAUGGUGCAUUAGGCGCAAACCGUGCACCUAUCUUGCACUGAAUCUAACACUGUCUCCAAAAAGACCGAAGCUAGAUUCCAUGUGACACACAUCACAUUAGGCGCAAACCGAGCACCUAUCUUGCACCAAAACUAAUAUUGUCUCUAAACUGACCGAAGCAAGAUUCCAUAUGACACACGUCAUCUAGGAGUUUCAUUGGGAGUGUCCAAAUUGAUUUCUGAGCAUAUGAUAUGUUCCACACAAAUAGUGCACCUAUCUUGCAUCAAGAUUAGCAAUAUCUCUGAAUAGACCAAACUGAGCUUCCACUUGAGCCUCUUCACCUAGGAGUACCAUCGGGUGCUUCUAAAAUGGUUUCUUAGCCUAUGGUCCAUUUGGCACAAACCGUGCAUAUAUCUUGCACCGAAACUAACACUAUCUCUAAAUAGACCAAAGCGAGAUUUCAUAUGACACACGUCAUCUAGGAGUUUCAUCAGGUGCGUCCAUAUUUUUUCCAAGCAUAUGGUAUGUUCCAUGCAAAGCAUGCACCUAUCUUGCGUCAAGACUAGCACUAUCUGCAAAUAGACCAAACCAAGAUUCCACUUGAGCCUCUUCACCUAGGAGUGCCAAUAGGUGUGUCCAAAAUGGUUACUUAGACUAUGGUGCAUUAGGCAUAAAUUGUGCACCUAUCUUGCACUGAAACUAAUAUUGUCUCCAAACGGACCGAAGCGAGAUUCCAUAUGACACACUUCAUCUAGGAGUUCCAUCGGGUGCAUCCAAUUUGAUUUCCAAGCAUCUAGUACAUUCCAUGCAAACCGUGCACCUAUCUUGCAUCAAGAUUAGCACUAUCGCCAAACAGACCGAACCGAGCUUCCACUUGAGCCUCUUCAUCUAGCAGUACCAAUAGGUGCAUCCAAAAUUGUUUCUUAGCCUAUGGUGCAUUAGGUACAAACCGGGCAAUAUCUUACACCAAAACUAACAUUGUCUCCAAAUAGACCAAAACGAGAUUCUAUAUGACACAUGUCACCUAGGAGUUCCAUCACGUGCGUCCAAAUUUAUUUCUGAGCAUAUGGUACGCUCCAUGCAAACCGUGCAACUAUCUUGCAUCAUGAUUAGCACUAUCUCCAAAUAGACCGAACCGAGCUUCCAGUUGAGCCUCUUCAUCUAGGAGUACCAUCGGGUGCAUCCAAAAUGUUUUCUUAGAGUAUGGUGCAUUAGGCACAAUCCGUGCACCUAUCUUGCACCAAAACUAACACUAUCUCCAAAUAGAUUGUACUGAGCUUUCACUUGAGCGUCUUCACAUAGAAGUAACAUUGGGUGCUUCCACAACGGUUUCUGAGCCUAUGGUGCAUUAGACACAAAUCGUGCACCUAUCUUGCACCAAAACUAACACUAUCUCCAAAUGGACCAAAGUGAGAUUCCAUAUGACACACGUCAUCUUGGAGUUCUAUCGGGUGCAUCCAAAUUGAUUUCUAAGCAUAUGGUACAUUCCAUGCAAACUGUGCACCUAUCUUGCAUCAAGAUUAGCACUAUCUCCAAACAGACCAAACUGAGCUUUCACUUGAGCCCCUUCACCUAGGAGUACCAUCGGGUGCGUCCAAAAUCAUUUCUUAGAGUAUGGUGCAUUAGUCACAAACCUUGCAAUAUCUUCUUAGAGUAUGGUGCAUUAGGCACAAACCGUGCACCUACCUUGCACUGAAACUAACACUAUCUGCAAAUAGACCAAAGCGAGAUAUCACAUGACACACAUCAUCUAGGAGUUCUAUCGAGUGCGUACAAAUUGAUUAUCAAGCAUAUGGUACAUUCCAUACAAACCGUGCACCUAUAUUACAUUAAAAUUAGCACUAUCUCCAAAUAGAUCGUAGCAAGCUUUCACUUGAGCCUCUUCACCUAAGAGUACCAUCGGGUGCUUCCAUAAUGGUUUCUUAGCCUAUGGUGCAUUAGGCGCAAACCAUGCACCAAACUUGCACCGAAACGAACACUAUCUCCAAACGGACCGAAGUGAGAUUCCAUAUGACACACGUCAUCUAGGAGUUCAUCGGGUGCGUCCAAAUGCUUGGAAAUCAAUCUGGACGCACAUGAUGGAAUUCCUAGAUGACAUGUCAUACGAAAUCUUGCUUCGGUCUAUUUGGAGACAGUGUUAGUUUCGGUGCAAGAUAGGUGCAAGGUUUGCACAUAAUGCAGCAUAUGCUAAGAAACCAUUUUGGACGCACUCGAUGGUACUCCUAGGUAAAAGGCUCAAGUGAAAGCUCGGUUUGGUCUUUUUGGAGAUAGUGCUAAUCUUGAUGCAAGAUAGAUACACAGUCUGUAUGGAAUGUACCAUAUGUUUAGAAAUUAAUUUGGACAGACCCGAUAGAACUCCUUGAUGACGUGUGUCAUACGGAAUCUCGCUUUGGUGUGCUGAGAGACAGUAUUAGUUUCAGUGCAAGAAAUGUGUACGGUUUGCGCCUAAUGCACCAAAGUCUAAGAAACCAUUUUGGAAGCACCUGUUGGUACUCCUAGGUGAAGAGGUUCAAGUGGAGGCUCGGUUCGGUCUGUUUAGAGAUAGUGCUAAUCUUGAUGCAAGAUAGGUGCACGAUUUGCAAGGAACAUACCAUAUGCUCAAAAAUCAAUUUGGAUGCACCAGAUGGAACUCCUAGAUGACAUGUGUCAUAUGGAAUCUCACUUCGGUCCGUUUAGAGACAGUGUUAGUUUCGGUACAAGAUAGGUGCAUGGUUUGCACCGAAUGCACCAUAGGAUAAGAAACCAUUUUGGACGCACCCGAUGGUACUCCAGGUCAAGAUGCUGAAGUGAAAGCUCAGUUUUGUAUGUUUGGAGAUAGUGCUAAUCUUGAUAGAAAUCAAUUUGGAUGCACUAGAUGGAACUCCUUGAUGAUGUGUGUCAUAUGGAAUCUUGCUUCGGUUCUUUUAGAGAUAGUGUUAGUUUUGGUAGAAGAUAUGUGCACAGUUUACGCCUAAUGCACCAUAGGCUAAGAUACCAUUUUAGACGCAUCCGAUGGUACUCGUUGUAGAAGAGGCUCAAGUGGAGGCUUGAUUUGGUCUGUUCAUAUAUAGUGCUAAUCUUGAUGCAAGAUAGUUGCACAGUUUGCAUGGAACGUACCAUAUGUUAAGAAAUCAAUUUGGACGCACCUAAUGGAACUCCUAGAUGACGUGUGUCAUAUGCAAUCUCGCUUCAGUCUGUUGGGAGACAAUGUUAGUUUCGGUGCAAGAUAGGUGCAUAGUUUGUGCCUAAUGCACCAUAGUCUAAGAAACCAUUUUUGACGCACCUAUUUGUACUCCUAGAUAAAGAGGCUCAAGUGGAAGCUCGGUUCGGUCUGUUUGGAGAUAGUGCUAAUCUUGAUGCAAGAUAGGUGCACGGUUUGCAUGGAACAUACCAUAUGCUUGGAACUCAAUUUGGAUGCACCGGAUGGAACUCCUUGAUGACGUGUGAUAUAUGGAAUCUCUCUUUGGUCUGUUUAGAAACAGUUUUAGUUUUGGUGCAAGAUAUGUGCAUGGUUUGCGUCUAAUGCACCAUAGUCUAAGAAACCAUUUUGGAAGCACCUGUUGGUACUUCGGUGAAGAGGGUCAAGUGGAAGCUCAGUUUGAUCUGUUUGGAGAUAGUGCUAAUCUUGAUGCAAGAUAGAUGCACAGUCUGCAUGGAACGUACCAUAUGCUUAGAAAUUAAUUUGGACACACCCGAUAGAACUCUUUAAUGAUGUGUGUCAUAUGGAAUCUCGCUUUGGUGUGCUUAGAAACAGUAUUAGUUUCGGUGCAAGAUAUGUGCACGGUUUGCACCUAAUGCACCAAAGUCUAAGAAACCAUUUUGGAAGCACCUGUUGGUACUCCUAGAUGAAGAGGCUCAAGUGGAGGCUCGGUUCGGUCUGUUUAGAGAUAGUGCUAAUCUUGAUGCAAGAUAGGUGCAUGAUUUGCAUUGAACAUACCUUAUGCUUAGAAAUCAAUUUGGAUGCACUAGAUGGAACUCCUAGAUGACAUGUGUCAUAUGGAAUCUGACUUUGGUCUGUUUAGAGACAGUGUUAGUUUCGGUGCAAGAUAGGUGCACGGUUUGCACCUAAUGCACCAUAGGAUAAGAAACCAUUUUGGACGCACCCGAUGGUACUCCUAGGUCAAGGGGCUCAAGUGAAAUCACAGUUUGGUCUGUUUGGAGAUAGUGCUAAUCUUGAUGCAAGAUAGAUGCACGGUUUGCAUGGAACAUAUGAUUUAGUCAGAAAUCAAUUAGGACGCACCUGAUAUAACUCCUUGAUGAUGUGUGUCAUAUGGAAUCUUGGUUCGGUUCGUUUAGAGAUAGUGUUAGUUUUGGUAGAAGAUAUGUGAACGGUUUACACCUAAUGCACCAUAGGCUAAGAAUCCAUUUUAGACGCAUCCGAUGGUACUCGUAGUUGAAGAGGCUCAAGUGGAGGCUCGAUUUGGUCUGUUCGGAUAUAGUGCUAAUCAUGAUGCAAGAUAGUUGCACAGUUUGCAUGGAACGUACCAUAUGUUAGGAAAUCAAUUUGGACGCACCCAAUGGAACUCCUAGAUGACGUGUGUCAUAUGGAAUCUCGCUUCGGUCUGUUUGGAGACAAUGUUAGUUUCGGUGCAAGAUAGGUCCAUAGUUUAAGAAACCAUUUUUGAUGCACCUGUUUGUACUCCUAGAUGAAGAGGCUCAAGUGGACGCUCGGUUCGGUCUGUUUAGAGAUAGUGCUAAUCUUGAUGCAAGAUAGGUGCACGGUUUGCAUGGAGCAUACCAUAUGCUUAGAAUACAAUUUGGAUGCACCCGAUGGAACUCCUUGAUGACCUGUGUCAUAUGGAAUCUCUCUUUGGUCUAUUUAGAAACAGUGUUAAUUUCGGUGCAAGAUAUGUUCAUGGUUUGCACCUAAUGCACCAUAGUCUAAGAAACUAUUUUGGAAGCACGAAUUGGUACUUCGGUGAAGAGGCUCAGUGGAAGCUCGGUUUGAUUUGUUUGGAGAUAGUGCAAAUUUUGAUGCAAGAUAGGUGCAUAAUUUGCAUGGAACAUACCAUAUGCUUAGAAAUCAAUUUGGAUGCACCCAAUGGAACUCCUAAAUGACGUGUGUCAUAUGAAAUCUUGCUUCGGUUCGUUUGUAAACAUUGUAUGUUUUAGUGCAAGAUAGGUGCAUAGUUUGCGCCUAAUGCACCAUAGUCUAAGAAACCAUUUUGGACGCACUAUUUGGUACUCCUGGGUGAAGAGGCUCAAGUGGAAACUUGGUUUGGUCAGUUUGGAGAUAGUGCUAAUCCUAAUGCAAGGUAGGUGCAUGGUUAGCAUGGAACUUACCAUAUGUUUGGAAGUCAAUUUCGAUGCACCCGAUAGAACUCCUCGAUGACGUGUGACAUAUGGAAUCUCGCUUCGGUCCAUUUGGAGACAUUGUUAGUUUUGGUGCAAGAUAGGUGCACAGUUUGCACCUAAUGCACCAUAGUCUAAGAAACCAUUUUGGACGCACUUGUUGGUACUCCUAGGUGAAGGGGCUCAAGUGGUUGCUCGGUUCGGUCUGUUUGGAGAUAUUGCUAAUCUUGAUGCAAGAUAGGUGCACGGUUUGCAUGGAACAUACCAAAUGCUUGGAAAAUAAUCUGGAAGCACAUGAUGGAACUCCUAGAUGACGUGUGUCAUACGAAAUCUUGCUUCGGUAUAUUUGGAGACACUAUUAGUUUCGGUGCAGGAUAGGUGCAAGGUUUGCACAUAAUGCAGCAUAGGCUAAGAAACCAUUUUGGACGCACCCGAUGGUACUCCUAGGUAAAAGGCUCAAGUGAAAGCUCGGUUUGGUCUAUUUGGAGAUAGUGCUAAUGAUGCGAACCCGCUAGGGUUUUUGGCCUGAUCUUUCGAUGAGAGGCGCUGGAUAACUCGAUUAGUGGAUGGAGAUGACGUUCACGGCCCGACUACAGCCCUCAAGACCGCGCCUUAGCAACCGAUACACCACGUCCAACAGCCGUCACGAUCUUGUGGAGCGUGACAACCAGCCCCUACGGCUCCCGUCCUGCAAGCAAUCGAAGAACUAGCAAGGACGAGGAAACAAGCACUGAAUUUGCAAGAUAAAUUGAAGGUUUCAAACUGAAUCUGAAUCAACAAUGGGGUUCCGAAGACAAGGAGACGGGCGGCUGAUCCUGCACGCGCGCCUACAAGCAAGUAGCGAAGGCUAAACUUGAUCUAAACAAAACCCAGUUGUUCAUGGCGGCUCUAGAUGUAAAUAAAUAGAGGGGAGGACGACCAAAGGGGUGCUAGAGUCGUCCUCCAACCCUAGGACGCGUCCCUAAUGGACUCAACUUGAUACAUGGGCCAUUGGUCCAAAAUAGGGUGACACAGCACCAAAACAGAAAAAGGUGUCGGCACGAAAACAAGGACUGUGCCCGAUUCAUAAGCCGCAUAGAUAUGUGGUUGGACCCAUUGGAAAGUAGACUUCAUGAGCUUUCCAACAAGUAUAGGAACGUCCCUGUUGGAGUCCAUAUGACGCCGUGGUGAUCCAUACAAGUUAGAGUUAUUUUCCAGUCCGAAUCCAACUCCCAAAACGUGUUGGGUUUGGACUCUUUGUUUCCUUGCUUUAGAAACGACGUGGUAACUUGACAGAGGAUGUUGUGGAGGCUUGGACCUGAUCUCCAAUCACCUUUGUUAAGUUAUCACUCUUCCCAUAUGCAAUCAGCCCUUGAAGUUGGUGUUGCCUCAAAUUCUGAAUGCAGUUGAACCUUCCCUUGCUGAUCUUGUCCAUUAUUCCUGAGCAACACCAAAGUGCACGUGUCUCUAUUGUCUAAAUAUGAUUGACAAGAGUUUAAAGCUGAACUUACUUGAAGGUUGAGUUGACGGGCACGAGCACGAGUAAGAGGACCAGCUAUAGGUUGUGUCGGAGAGGAUGUAGGACCAGCUAUAGGUUGUGUCGGAGAUGUAGGAUAUGUAUCGCUGGUGGAUGUAGGAUAUGUAUCGCUGGUGGAUGUAGGAUAUGUAUCGCUGGUGUNNNNNNNNNNNNNNNNNNNNNNNNNNNNNNNNNNNNNNNNNNNNNNNNNNNNNNNNNNNNNNNNNNNNNNNNNNNNNNNNNNNNNNNNNNNNNNNNNNNNNNNNNNNNNNNNNNNNNNNNNNNNNNNNNNNNNNNNNNNNNNNNNNNNNNNNNNNNNNNNNNNNNNNNNNNNNNNNNNNNNNNNNNNNNNNNNNNNNNNNNNNNNNNNNNNNNNNNNNNNNNNNNNNNNNNNNNNNNNNNNNNNNNNNNNNNNNNNNNNNNNNNNNNNNNNNNNNNNNNNNNNNNNNNNNNNNNNNNNNNNNNNNNNNNNNNNNNNNNNNNNNNNNNNNNNNNNNNNNNNNNNNNNNNNNNNNNNNNNNNNNNNNNNNNNNNNNNNNNNNNNNNNNNNNNNNNNNNNNNNNNNNNNNNNNNNNNNNNNNNNNNNNNNNNNNNNNNNNNNNNNNNNNNNNNNNNNNNNNNNNNNNNNNNNNNNNNNNNNNNNNNNNNNNNNNNNNNNNNNNNNNNNNNNNNNNNNNNNNNNNNNNNNNNNNNNNNNNNNNNNNNNNNNNNNNNNNNNNNNNNNNNNNNNNNNNNNNNNNNNNNNNNNNNNNNNNNNNNNNNNNNNNNNNNNNNNNNNNNNNNNNNNNNNNNNNNNNNNNNNNNNNNNNNNNNNNNNNNNNNNNNNNNNNNNNNNNNNNNNNNNNNNNNNNNNNNNNNNNNNNNNNNNNNNNNNNNNNNNNNNNNNNNNNNNNNNNNNNNNNNNNNNNNNNNNNNNNNNNNNNNNNNNNNNNNNNNNNNNNNNNNNNNNNNNNNNNNNNNNNNNNNNNNNNNNNNNNNNNNNNNNNNNNNNNNNNNNNNNNNNNNNNNNNNNNNNNNNNNNNNNNNNNNNNNNNNNNNNNNNNNNNNNNNNNNNNNNNNNNNNNNNNNNNNNNNNNNNNNNNNNNNNNNNNNNNNNNNNNNNNNNNNNNNNNNNNNNNNNNNNNNNNNNNNNNNNNNNNNNNNNNNNNNNNNNNNNNNNNNNNNNNNNNNNNNNNNNNNNNNNNNNNNNNNNNNNNNNNNNNNNNNNNNNNNNNNNNNNNNNNNNNNNNNNNNNNNNNNNNNNNNNNNNNNNNNNNNNNNNNNNNNNNNNNNNNNNNNNNNNNNNNNNNNNNNNNNNNNNNNNNNNNNNNNNNNNNNNNNNNNNNNNNNNNNNNNNNNNNNNNNNNNNNNNNNNNNNNNNNNNNNNNNNNNNNNNNNNNNNNNNNNNNNNNNNNNNNNNNNNNNNNNNNNNNNNNNNNNNNNNNNNNNNNNNNNNNNNNNNNNNNNNNNNNNNNNNNNNNNNNNNNNNNNNNNNNNNNNNNNNNNNNNNNNNNNNNNNNNNNNNNNNNNNNNNNNNNNNNNNNNNNNNNNNNNNNNNNNNNNNNNNNNNNNNNNNNNNNNNNNNNNNNNNNNNNNNNNNNNNNNNNNNNNNNNNNNNNNNNNNNNNNNNNNNNNNNNNNNNNNNNNNNNNNNNNNNNNNNNNNNNNNNNNNNNNNNNNNNNNNNNNNNNNNNNNNNNNNNNNNNNNNNNNNNNNNNNNNNNNNNNNNNNNNNNNNNNNNNNNNNNNNNNNNNNNNNNNNNNNNNNNNNNNNNNNNNNNNNNNNNNNNNNNNNNNNNNNNNNNNNNNNNNNNNNNNNNNNNNNNNNNNNNNNNNNNNNNNNNNNNNNNNNNNNNNNNNNNNNNNNNNNNNNNNNNNNNNNNNNNNNNNNNNNNNNNNNNNNNNNNNNNNNNNNNNNNNNNNNNNNNNNNNNNNNNNNNNNNNNNNNNNNNNNNNNNNNNNNNNNNNNNNNNNNNNNNNNNNNNNNNNNNNNNNNNNNNNNNNNNNNNNNNNNNNNNNNNNNNNNNNNNNNNNNNNNNNNNNNNNNNNNNNNNNNNNNNNNNNNNNNNNNNNNNNNNNNNNNNNNNNNNNNNNNNNNNNNNNNNNNNNNNNNNNNNNNNNNNNNNNNNNNNNNNNNNNNNNNNNNNNNNNNNNNNNNNNNNNNNNNNNNNNNNNNNNNNNNNNNNNNNNNNNNNNNNNNNNNNNNNNNNNNNNNNNNNNNNNNNNNNNNNNNNNNNNNNNNNNNNNNNNNNNNNNNNNNNNNNNNNNNNNNNNNNNNNNNNNNNNNNNNNNNNNNNNNGAUAAUAUUCUUCUACACUUUUAGCACCUUGUCUUAACUGCUGCAACUUAUUUAUCAUAUCACGCGCAUAGUAAGAUGAAACAAAUCUAGCUCUCAUGGCCCUUUUCAGCGCAUCCCAAGUUCUAGGUAAGUUAUUAGGAUUUUUCUUUCCAUAUUCUAUCCACCAAACAGAAGCAAAAUCUGUAAACUCACUAGUAGCAGCCCUAACACGUGUAGUCUCAGGAAAUUCAUGACAUGCAAACUUUUGAUCAACAGCAAUCUCCCAAGUGAUGUAAGCAUCAGGGUCAAAUUUACCAUCAAAAGGAGGUAUCUUAAAUUUAAUCUUACUGAAAGCAUCAUCAUUAUUGUGCACCUCGCGUCGGCGGUUGCCACCCAUACCUCUACGGUUGUGACGAAGGCGACGUCGAUCACGAGUGUCUUGAUCAUCAUGUUCAGUAUCACCAGUGUAGUCAUCUUCAUGACUACCGUGCUCUCGAUCUCUCUCCUUUUCUUCUUUAUGCUUCUCUUUAUCUUCGGUGUGGAAAUCAUCAAAUCGCCUUAGGAGAGCAGCAAGGCUUUUGUCCACACUAGCAACGGAUUCCUCCAAACGUGUGAGCUUGUUGUUUGUGGCAAUCUGCGUAGCCUCCAACUGCCCCAGCUUUUCAUUUGUCACCUGCAAGUCGUUAUCAAGUCCCUCUCUGUGCAGCCUCACUUUCCUUUCAAAAUGUUGUAUGAUGCCCUUAGUGCGAGGUGUAAGUGGUGUUUCGUUACCAUCAUCUGCCCCUGGCAUGGUUCAAAGACAAAGACAACAAAAAGGCAAGUGAAGAAAUAAAAGCCCUACAACUACUAGGAUGUAGCUACAGCAAGUCGCUCACACUCAACCUGUAACAUAAGUUCUUACCAAUUCUUACCUUGCUUGACAGGAGGGGUCGUCUGCCAACAAGUGUACAGCAAUGGACGAAGUGUAUCGGUGCUGCAGCACAAGACCUGUCAAGCUGUAGAGUAUGUGGAGCUAUAGGUGGGCUGAAACAAGGAUCGAACUAGCACCACGUUAGUUAUAAAAAGCAAGUUGAAUAAACGCUCAACGGUGUUACUGUGCUGGUCCUAGCCUAGACCGUGCUAGAGACGCGAGCCUGGACACAAAGGGAAAACACAGCACACCACUGGAAACAAAAUGAGCAGCCCUACUGGAAACAAAAGGAACAACAAUCCCCUUUUUUUAUUUAUUUUUUCUCUUUUUUUUAUUUCUUUCUUUUUUUUUCUUUCUCUUUUCUUUUUUUUUGGGAACCUCAAAACCUGAUUAUAUAAACAAAAUAGUACAAAAUAUCACUUCACCACUCUCACCCUCUCACUAGAGUAAGGCUGAAACUCAAAAUUCAAUAUAUCUAGCACAAGUAUGAAGUGCUAUCUUUCCUUUUGGAUCACGUUGAUGGAAACGCAGAAUAGACCAACAAGUGGCUGCACCUAUUAUCAAGAUCUACUCAAAUUCCAGCCCACAAUAGAUUGGACGCAGUUGUGACUAGAUGGUGACAAGAACUCAAAACUCUAAAGGACUAAACUAAAACCAGCACUGGACACGACCGAAGCAAACACUCAUUCAACCAGCCCUAACUAAGUAGUACUAGCCACGGCACAAAUGAUUUAUAGGAUUAUGGAAAACAAAUCUGCUAUAUUUUUUGUCUUUUUUGGACUAUAGGAAAAACAAACACGAAGAAUUGGAAAUCUCUCACCGAUAAACCUUGCUCUGAUUACCAACUGGUGCGAACCCGCUAGGGUUUUUGGCCUGAUCUUUCGAUGAGAGGCGCUGGAUAACUCGAUUAGUGGAUGGAGAUGACGUUCACGGCCCGACUACAGCCCUCAAGACCGCGCCUUAGCAACCGAUACACCACGUCCAACAGCCGUCACGAUCUUGUGGAGCGUGACAACCAGCCCCUAGGGCUCCCGUCCUGCAAGCAAUCGAAGAACUAGCAAGAACGAGGAAACAAGCACUGAAUUUGCAAGAUGAAUUGAAGGUUUCAAACUGAAUCUGAAUCAACAAUGGGGUUCCGAAGACAAGGAGACGGGCGGCUGAUCCUGCACGCGCGCCUACAAGCAAGUAGCGAAGGCUAAACUUGAUCUAAACAAAACCCAGUUGUUCAUGGCGGCUCUAGAUGUAAAUAAAUAGAGGGGAGGACGACCAAAGGGGUGCUAGAGUCGUCCUCCAACCCUAGGACGCGUCCCUAAUGGACUCAACUUGAUACAUGGGCCAUUGGUCCAAAAUAGGGUGACGCAGCACCAAAACAGAAAAAGGUGUCGGCACGAAAACAAGGAUUGCGCCCGCCUCAUAAGCCGCAUAGAUAUGUGGUUGGACCCAUUGGAAAGUAGACUUCAUGAGCUUUCCAACAAGUAUAGGAACGUCAUAGUUGGAGUCCAUAUGACGCCGUGGUGAUCCAUACAAGUUAGAGUUAUUUUCCAGUCCGAAUCCAACUCCCAAAACGUGUUGGGUUUGGACUCUUUGUUUCCUUGCUUUAGAAACGACGUGGUAACUUGACAGAGGAUGUUGUGGAGGCUUGGACCUCAUCUCCAAUCACCUUUGUUAAGUUAUCACUCUUCCCAUAUGCAAUCAGCCCUUGAAGUUGGUGUUGCCUCAAAUUCUGAAUGCAGUUGAACCUUCCCUUGCUGAUCUUGUCCAUUAUUCCUGAGCAACACCAAAGUGCACGUGUCUCCAUUGUCUAAAUAUGAUUGACAAGAGUUUAAAGCUGAACUUACUUGAAGGUUGAGUUGACGGGAACGAGCACGUGUAAGAGGACCAGCUAUAGGUUGUGUCGGAGAGGAUGUAGGACCAGCUAUAGGUUGUGUCGGAGAUGUAGGAUAUGUAUCGCUGGUGGAUGUAGGAUAUGUAUCGCUGGUGGAUGUAGGAUAUGUAUCGCUGGUGUUGAUGUCCUCAUCAUCCUCCCUUUCUUGCAUUUGAGUCGUCCUCGACUCAAGCUCAUCUUCCUCACCCAAAUAAGGCUUCAAAUCUGCAAUGUUAAAUGUGGGACUAACCCCAAAAUCUGCAGGAAGAUCAAGCUUAUAUGCAUUCUCAUUAAUUCGUUGCAGCACUUUAAAAGGACCAUCAGCUCUAGGCAUCAAUUUGGAUUUUCUCAGUUCUGGAAAUCUAUCUUUUCGCAAAUGCAACCAAACCAAAUCCCCAGGUUCCAGAAUCAAUUGCUUUCUACCUUUAUCUCCCAAUUUCAUACGAAUCUGGUGGUACCCACUACGUAAAUCAACUUUUGAAAACACAACAGCACCACUCAGUUCAUCUAGCAUAUCAUCUAAUCGUGGAAUAGGGUGUCGAUAUCGAAUGAUGAUAUUAUUAAUAGCUCUACAAUCAACACACAUACGCCAUGUUCCAUCUUUCUUAGGCACUAAAAUUACUGGAACAGCACAAGGACUAAGAAAUUCUCGGACAUAACCUUUGUCUAGUAGUUCUUGCACUUGUCGCUGAAUUUCCUUUGUUUCCUCCAGGUUCGUCCUGGAUGGUCCACGAUUUGGCAAAACUGCUCCAGGAAUAAGAUCAAUUUGGUGCUCAAUCCCGCGUAGUGGAGGCAGCCCCGCUGGUACCUCACUUGGAAACACAUCAGAAUACUCUUGCAAAACGUUAGCAACAGCAGGGGGCAAAGAACAUUGCAUAUCCUCAAUUGAAAUCAAAGCAUCCUUGCAUAUCAAAGCAUAAGCAACAGAAGUGGAUGCAUUGAACUCAUUAAUAUCUGAUUUGGUAGCUAUCAUACAACGUCCUUUCAGUUUUAUCUCAUCUUUGUUACCAAUUACAGAUUUAUCAUUUUUAUUGCUCUUGCUCUUUGCUUUAGUAGCCCUAGCAACAUCAGUUUGCAUAAUAGUUUCAGGGGACAUAGGAUGCAACACAAUUUUGCGAUCAUGGUAUAGAAAAGAAUACUGAUUUGAUCUACCAUGAUGCAUAGAAUCUCUAUCAAAUUGCCAAGGACUACCUAGCAGAAUGUUACAAGCUUGCAUAGGCACAACAUCACAUUCAACAAUAUCUUUGUAGGAUCCGAUGGAAAAAUUAAUUCUCACAAGUCUAGUUACCUUUGCCUUACCACUGUUGUUCAACCAUUGGAUGUAGUAGGGAUGCGGGUGUGGUUUGGUGUUGAGGGCAAGCUUCUGCACCAUAUCGCUGCUUGCCAAGUUGUUGCAGCUACCUCCAUCAAUGAUCAUGCGACAAGAACGCUCUUUGAUGACACACUUUGUUUGGAAUAAAAUGUGUCGCUGAUUUUGUUCCGCCAUCUCCAAUUCUGCACUAAGCACUCGCUGCACGAUCAAGCUCUCAUAGUGGUCCGCUUCACCUGCAUUAAUAUGUUCUUCUAUUUGAUCUUCAUUACCUGCAUGGUCAGUCGCAAGCAGUGCAAGUGUAUCCUCAUCAAAAUCACUAGCAGAUGAGUACUCACCAUCAUCCUUGACAAUCAUAACUCGCUUGUUUGGGCAGUCACGCAUCAUGUGCCCAUAUCCCUUGCACCGAUGACAUUGUAUGUUGCUUGUUCUACCCAUCGAUGCCACGGAUGAAGUACUCGCAGCAGGCUUUUGCAUCGUCUUCGUAACUGAAUUGGUGGGGGAAGCUCGAGCCUUGUCACUAGAUGAUGGAGUAGAAAUACGUGUAGAUGGAGUUGAAGCCAUGUGUUGCUGCCAUGAAUUAGCCUUCCCUGCAGAAAUAUUACUCCUUGCGCUAGCACGUCGUCCCUGCACUUCCCUUUCAGCUUUACAAGCAAGAUGAAACAAAUGGGUUACAUUAUUGUAUUCUUUGUAAGCGAGGAUGUCCUGAAUUUCCUGAUUUAACCCACCCAAAAAUCUAGCCAUAGCCGGUUCCUCAUCCUCCUCUAGGUUACAACGCAACAUAGCCGUUUGUAAUCCCUGAUAAUAUUCUUCUACACUUUUAGCACCUUGUCUUAACUUCUGCAACUUAUUUAUCAUAUCACGCGCAUAGUAAGAUGAAACAAAUCUAGCUCUCAUGGCCCUUUUCAGCGCAUCCCAAGUUCUAGGUAAGUUAUUAGGAUUUUUCUUUCCAUAUUCUAUCCACCAAACAGAAGCAAAAUCUGUAAACUCACUAGUAGCAGCCCUAACACGUGUAGUCUCAGGAAAUUCAUGACAUGCAAACUUUUGAUCAACAGCAAUCUCCCAAGUGAUGUAAGCAUCAGGGUCAUAUUUACCAUCAAAAGGAGGUAUCUUAAAUUUAAUCUUACUGAAAGCAUCAUCAUUAUUGUGCACCUCGCGUCGGCGGUUGCCACCCAUACCUCUACGGUUGUGACGAAGGCGACGUCGAUCACGAGUGUCUUGAUCAUCAUGUUCAGUAUCACCAGUGUAGUCAUCUUCAUGACUACCGUGCUCUCGAUCUCUCUCCUUUUCUUCUUUAUGCUUCUCUUUAUCUUCGGUGUGGAAAUCAUCAAAUCGCCUUAGGAGAGCAGCAAGGCUUUUGUCCACACUAGCAACGGAUUCCUCCAAACGUGUGAGCUUGUUGUUUGUGGCAAUCUGCGUAGCCUCCAUCUGCCCCAGCUUUUCAUUUGUCACCUGCAAGUCGUUAUCAAGUCCCUCUCUGUGCAGCCUCACUUUCCUUUCAAAAUGUUGUAUGAUGCCCUUAGUGCGAGGUGUAAGUGGUGUUUCGUUACCAUCAUCUGCCCCUGGCAUGGUUCAAAGACAAAGACAACAAAAAGGCAAGUGAAGAAAUAAAAGCCCUACAACUACUAGGAUGUAGCUACAGCAAGUCGCUCACACUCAACCUGUAACAUAAGUUCUUACCAAUUCUUACCUUGCUUGACAGGAGGGGUCGUCUGCCAACAAGUGUACAGCAAUGGACGAAGUGUAUCGGUGCUGCAGCACAAGACCUGUCAAGCUGUAGAGUAUGUGGAGCUAUAGGUGGGCUGAAACAAGGAUCGAACUAGCACCACGUUAGUUAUAAAAAGCAAGUUGAAUAAACGCUCAACGGUGUUACUGUGCUGGUCCUAGCCUAGACCGUGCUAGAGACGCGAGCCUGGACACAAAGGGAAAACACAGCACACCACUAGAAACAAAAUGAGCAGCCCUACUGGAAACAAAAGGAACAACAAUCCCCUUUUUUUAUUUUUUUUUCUCUUUUUUUUUCUUUCUUUCUUUCUUUUUUUUCUUUCUCUUUUCUUUUUUUUGGGGAACCUCAAAACCUGAUUAUAUAAACAAAAUAGUACAAAAUAUCACUUCACCACUCUCACCCUCUCACUAGAGUAAGGCUGAACCUCAAAAUUCAAUAUAUCUAGCACAAGUAUGAAGUGCUAUCUUUCCUUUUGGAUCACGUUGAUGGAAACGCAGAAUAGACCAACAAGUGGCUGCACCUAUUAUCAAGAUCUACUCAAAUUCCAGCCCACAAUAGAUUGGACGCAGUUGUGACUAGAUGGUGACAAGAACUCAAAACUCUAAAGGACUAAACUAAAACCAGCACUGGACACGACCGAAGCAAACACUCAUUCAACCAGCCCUAACUAAGUAGUACUAGCCACAGCACAAAGGAUUUAUAGGAUUAUGGAAAACAAAUCUGCUAUAUUUUUUGUCUUUUUUUGGACUAUAGGAAAAACAAACACGAAGAAUUGGAAAUCUCUCACCGAUAAACCUUGCUCUGAUUACCAACUGAUGCGAACCCGCUAGGGUUUUUGGCCUGAUCUUUCGAUGAGAGGCGCUGGAUAACUUGAUUAGUGGAUGGAGAUGAUGUUCAUGGCCCGACUACAGCCCUCAAGACCGCGCCUUAGCAACCGAUACACCACGUCCAACAGCCGUCACGAUCUUGUGGAGCGUGACAACCAGCCCCUAGGGCUCCCGUCCUGCAAGCAAUCGAAGAACUAGCAAGAACGAGGAAACAAGCACUGAAUUUGCAAGAUGAAUUGAAGGUUUCAAACUGAAUCUGAAUCAACAAUGGGGUUCCGAAGACAAGGAGACGGGCGGCUGAUCCUGCACGCGCGCCUACAAGCAAGUAGCGAAGGCUAAACUUGAUCUAAACAAAACCCAGUUGUUCAUGGCGGCUCUAGAUGUAAAUAAAUAGAGGGGAGGACGACCAAAGGGGUGCUAGAGUCAUCCUCCAACCCUAGGACGCGUCCCUAAUGGACUCAACUUGAUACAUGGGCCAUUGGUCCAAAAUAGGGUGACGCAGCACCAAAACAGAAAAAGGUGUCGGCACGAAAACAAGGACUGCGCCCGAUUCAUAAGCCGCAUAGAUAUGUGAUUGGACCCAUUGGAAAGUAGACUUCAUGAGCUUUCCAACAAGUAUAGGAACGUCCCUGUUGGAGUCCAUAUGACGCCGUGGCGAUCCAUACAAGUUAGAGUUAUUUUCCAGUCCGAAUCCAACUCCCAAAACGUGUUGGAUUUGGACUCUUUGUUUCCUUGCUUUAGAAACGACGUGGUAACUUGACAGAGGAUGUUGUGGAGGCUUGGACCUGAUCUCCAAUCACCUUUGUUAAGUUAUCACUCUUCCCAUAUGCAAUCAGCCCUUGAAGUUGGUGUUGCCUCAAAUUCUGAAUGCAGUUGAACCUUCCCUUGCUGAUCUUGUCCAUUAUUCCUGAGCAACACCAAAGUGCACGUGUCUCCAUUGUCUAAAUAUGAUUGACAAGAGUUUAAAGCUGAACUUACUUGAAGGUUGAGUUGACGGGCACGAGCACGAGUAAGAGGACCAGCUAUAGGUUGUGUCGGAGAGGAUGUAGGACCAGCUAUAGGUUGUGUCGGAGAUGUAGGAUAUGUAUCGCUGGUGGAUGUAGGAUAUGUAUCGCUGGUGGAUGUAGGAUAUGUAUCGCUGGUGUUGAUGUCCUCAUCAGCUAAUCUUGAUGCAAGAUAGAUGCACGGUCUGCAUGGAACGUACCAUAUGCUUAGAAAUUAAUUUGGACACACCCGAUAGAACUCCUUGAUGACGUGUGUCAUAUGGAAUCUCGCUUUGGUGUGCUUAGAGAUAGUAUUAGUUUCGGUGCAAGAUAUGUGCACAGUUUGCGCCUAACGCUCCAAAGUCUAAGAAACCAAUUUGGAAGCACCUGUUAGUACUCCUAGGUGAAGAGGCUCAAGUGGAGGCUCGGUUCGGUCUGUUUAGAGAUAGUGCUAAUCUUCAUGCAAGAUAGGUGCACGAUUUGCAUGGAACAUUCCAUAUGCUCAGAAAUCAAUUUGGACGCACCAGAUGUAACUCCUAGAUGAGAUGUGUCGUAUGGAAUCUCACUUCGGUCCGUUUAGAGACAGUGUUAGUUUCGGUGCAAGAUAGGUAACCGGUUUGCACCUAAUGCACCAUAGGAUAAGAAACCAUUUUGGACGCACCCGAUGGUACUCAUAGUUGAAGAGGCUCAUGUGAAGGCUCGAUUUGGUCUGUUCGGAUAUAGUGCUAAUCUUGAUGCAAGAUAGUUGCACAGUUUGAAUGCAACGUACCAUACGUUAAGAAAUCAAUUUGGACGCACCCAAUGGAACUCUUAGAUGACGUGUGUCAUAUGGAAUCUCGAUUCGGUCUGUUUGGAGACGAUGUUUGUUUCGGUCCAAGAUAGGUGCAUAGUUUGUGCCUAAUGCACCAUAGUCUAAGAAACCAUUUUUGACGCACCUGUUUGUACUCCUAGAUGAAGAGGCUCAAGUGGAAGCUCGGUUCGGUCUGUUUAGAGAUAGUGCUACUCUUGAUUCAAGAUAGGUGCACGGUUAGCAUGGAACAUACCAUAUGCUUGGAAAUCAAUUUGGAUGCACCCGAUGGAACUCCUCGAUGACGUGUGUCAUAUGGAAUCUCACUUUGGUCUAUUUAGAAGCAAUGUUAGUUUCGGUGCAAGAUAUGUGCAUGGUUUGCGGCUAAUGCACCAUAGUCCAAUAAUCCAUUUUGGAAGCACUUGUUGGUACUUUGGUGAAGAGGCUCAAGUGGAAGCUCGGUUUGAUCUGUUUGGAGAUAGUGCUAAUCUUGAUGCAAGAUAGGUGCAUGAUUUGCAAGGAACAUACCAUAUGCUUAGAAAUCAAUUUGGACGCACCCAAUGGAACUCCUAGAUGACGUGUGUCAUAUGGAAUUUUGCUUCGGCCCGUUUGUAGACAUUGUAAGUUUUAGUGCAAGAUAGGUGCACAGUUUGCGCCUAAUGCUCCAUAGUCUAAGAAACCAUUUUGGACACACUUGUUGGUAGUCUUAUGUGAAGGGGCUCAAGUGGAUGCUCGGUUCGGUCUGUUUGGAGGUAGUGCUAAUCUUGAUGCAAGAUAGGUGCACGGUUUGCAUGGAACAUACCAAAUUGCUUGGAAAUCAAUCUGGACGCACACGAUGGAACUCCUAGAUGACGUGUGUCAUACAAAAUCUUGCUUCGGUCUGUUUGGAGACAGUGUUAGUUUCGGUGCAAGAUAGGUGUAAGGUUUGCACAUAAUGCAGCAUAGGCUAAGAAACCAUUUUAGACGCACCCGAUGGUACUCCUAGGUAAAAGGCUCAAGUGAAAGCUCGGUUUGUUCUAUUUGGAGAUAGUGCUAAUGUUGAUGCAAGAUAGGUGCACGGUCUGCAAUGAACGUACCAUAUGCUUAGAAAUUAAUUUGGACACACCCGAUAGAACUCCUUGAUGACAUGUGUCAUAUGGAAUCUCGCUUUGGUGUGCUUAGAGAUAGUAUUAAUUUGAAUGCAAGAUAUGUGCACGGUUUGCGCCUAAUGCACCAAAGUCUAAGAAACCAUUUCGGAAGUACCUGUUGGUACUCCUAGGUGAAGUGGCUUAAGUGGAGGCUCGGUUCGGUCUAUUUAGAGAUAGUGGUAAUCUUGAUGCAAGAUAGGUGCACGAUUUGCAUGGAACAUACCAUAUGAUCAGAAAUCAAUUUGGACGCACAUCUUGCAUCAUAUGUCAUCUAGGAGUUCCAUCUGGUGCGUCCAAAUUGAUUUAUGAGCAUAUGGUAUGUUCCAUGCAGACCGUGUAUCUUGCAUCAAGAUUAGCACUAUCUCCAAAUAGACCAAACCGAGCUUUCACUUGAGCCUUUUACCUAGGAGUACCAUCGGGUGAGUCCAAAAUGGUUUCUUAGCCUAUGCUGCAUUAUGUGCAAACUUUGCACCUAUCUUGCACCAAAACUAACAUUGUCUCCAAGCAGACCAAAUCAAGAUUUUGUAUGACACACGUCAUCUAGGAGUUCCAUCAUGUGUGUCCAGAUUUAUUUCUAAGCAUAUGGUAUGUUUCUUGUAAAUCAUGCACCUAUCUUGCAUCAAGAUUAGCACUAUCUCCAAACAUAUCAAACCGAGCUUCCACUUGAGCCUCUUCACCGAAGUACCAACAGGUGCUUCCAAAAUGGUUUCUUAGACUAUGGUGCAUUAGGCGCAAACCAUGCACAUAUCUUGCACCGAAACUAACAAUAUUUCUAAACAGACCAAAGUGAGAUUCCAUAUGACACACGUGAAAGCCCAAGUUUGGUUUUGGUAAUUAAUGACACCAAGUUGCUAAUGCCUUGUAUUUAAGUGAUUUUAGUUAGGCGUAGCAACACACGUGAUGAAGAUGCAUGGUGGCAUGGAAAGGUGGCCACAUGAUCACAAAGGGAUGAAGCAUGAAGUGAAGAUCAUGGUGAUAGACGAGGAGCAAAGUUAUCAAGGCAAAGGUAUAAACAUAGGGUUUUACUUUUGCCGGUCUAAGAUGAGUAGAGAAGUGAUUGACCGGGUUUAGGAUAGAUAGCCGACUAUCUAGAGGGGAAAUCACGGUCAUCUCUCGAAUCAAGUGCUACUAGGUCUACAUCUUGAGCAUAUGCAUGAGGAUCUAGUAAAGUGCUAACUUAACUCCUUUGGGUAAAAAUGUUUGUGAAAAGCUAACACACAUGCACUUUGGUGGUGGACACUUGUUGGUUUUAGCACAUUUGCAAAGGAGGUGGUUAACGUAGGCGUUUUGCGACCCACUCUGCGCAUGGGUCCGGUGACCACCGGACGCUACCGGUGCUUAGCGUCCGGUGACCCGCAGGUUUGCGGAACUCUUUGCGCAUGAGUCCGGUGUGCACCGGACGCGUCCGGUGAUCCGCAGGUGACCGUUAGGAUCUGACACACGAGAUUCAGGACGGACACGUGGCCAACUCCAGUGCACCGGACGUAGGGAGUCGAGCGUCCGGUGCUCACUUAGUAGCGUCCGGUGCCCCCGAUUUCUGCCCAGAGAAAGUGGCCAACAGCUAGUUCUUUGAGGGGGCUUAUAAAUAGUUGGUGGCCGGCUUUGGGCGGUUCUCUCUUGCACAUUUGAUUACUUGAGGCAUACAUUGAGCUAGAGAACACUCCCUCCACUCAUCUCCUUGCUUGAUUGCUAAUCCUAGUGAGAUUGAGUGAGAUUCAAGUGCAUUGCUUUGAGAGUUGCAUUUAAUGGCACUUGAUUCUUGAGUUUGAUGCGGAUUUCUUGUUACUCUUGGGUGUUUCCCGACGCCCUAGACGGCUUGGAGCAGCGGUGGUGUUGAGCUCGUGAUUGGAGAAUGUUUCGAGCCUCACCAAGUAAUUUGUGAGGGGUUCUUGAGCCUUCCCCGCAGGAGAUCGCAAUUGGCUACUCUAGUGGAUUGCUCGUGGCUUGGAGGAUCCCCAUCUUGUGAGUGGAUGUGUGGCACCCACUGAGGGUUUGGCUUUGGAUUGCCAAUUAGCUCGUGAUCCAUCAAGUGGGUGUAUCGCCACAACGAGGACUAGCUUGCCGGGAAGUAAGUGAACCUCGGUAAAAAAUCUUGUGUCAUCUCUUCCCGAGGAUUCUCUUGUGAUUGUGAGUGAUUGGUUCGAUAUAUCUCUACUCUACAACGUUGGUAUAACAAUCACUCUCCACUCCUUUACUCACUUGUAUGCCUUGCUUGUUGUUUAGUUUAGUUUUCUUGUUUAGGAGUGUAGCUAGCUUUCUUAGUUGUUGUGUUUUAGUGUUUAGCCUUGUACUAGUUUCUAUUGGUGGCUUGCAUAGCUUAGUUGAGCUAGUGCUAGUUUUGCUUUGCCAUUUGUUUUACUAACUCACUUGCUUAGUGAAGUUUGUAGAAAUUUUAAAUAGGCUAUUCACCCCCCCUCUAGCCAUUUGGACCUUUCAAGUGGUAUCGGAGCCGAGGCACCGUUUAUUUGAGGCUUAACAACCUACGGUGAAGAAAUGGCUCUUAGUUUGCAUAUCAACAACACUAAGAAGGCACCUUACUUUGAUGGCACAAAUUAUGCUUAUUGGAAGGUCAAGAUGACCGCCCAUCUCAAGUCAAUCAAUAGAGAAGUUUGGAAGGUGACCGAAACAAAGUUUGAGGUUGCAAAUGAGAAUGCACCAACACCGGUGGAAGAAAAGAAGCUUCAAUGCAAUGACAUUGCAAUUAGUGCUCUUCAUGAAGCUCUUGAUGACAAGACCUUUGAGCAAAUCAAGAACAUUGAGAUUGCUCAUGAUGCAUGGGCAAAACUAGAAGAAACAUUUGAGGGCACCAAGGGAACCAAGACCGCCAAGGCAUACUGAAAGGAUCAAGAUGCCCAAGAGGGGGGUGAAUUGGGCUUCUCUAAAAAUUUAAGCAACCUAUAAGCUUCAAUUCAACCUCUUGUGCCUAGUGUAACUUAGAGAGCUACCGGAUAAAAAGUUUUGCAACCUAGUUCCAAUCCUAUUCUAGCAUGGCAAUUGUAAGAAUGUAAAAACACAAAGUAAAUACUAGAAAGUAAAGGAGUAGUGGAAGAAAUUGCUCGGCGAUGUUUUGCCGAGGUAUCGGAGAGUCGCCACUCUCCACUAGUCCUCGUUGGAGCACCCGCGCAAGGGUCUUGCUCCCCCUUGGUCCGCGCAAGGACCAAGUGCUCUCUAGGGGCUGAUUCUUCGACACUCCGUCGCGGUGAAUCGCCCAAAAACCGCUCACAAGCUUGACACGAGCCACCCACAAGAACUCCGGGUGAUCUUCGUGCCUCCAAUCACCACCGAACCGUCUAGGUGAUGGCGAUCACCAAGAGUAACAAGCAAAGAACUCUCACUUGACCCAAACAAGACACUAGAGAGUGAUGGAUGCACACUUGACUCUUGGAACUCACUAGAGGAGGAUUCUCUCAAGAAUUCACUCAAAAACCAAUCCUCUCUAGGCUCUUUGCAACUCUCUUGCUCCACAACAAGUUUCGCUGAUGUUCAAAUGGGCAAGAGAGGUCUCAUGGACGAGGUGGAGAAGUAUAAAUACUAUCCACGAAGUCCAAAGGUCGGCCAACCGUUUUCCACUAAAAAACGGGGUCACGGACGCACGUUAUGUUGCACCGGACGCACUGCACCGAGCGUCCGGUGUGACAUAACGGCUACCUGCGCUUUUCUCUGACAGGUCACCGGACGCUAACUCUCAGCGUCCGGUGCACCGUCCGGUGCUCGGGGAAACCUUACAUGCUCCCUGCGCAUGGGACCGGACGCUACCCGGCGCGUCCGGUGCUAGCGUCCGGUGCUCAGGGGAACUUUGCAAGCUCCCUGGGUAAGGGACCGGACGCUGCCCGGUGCGUCCGGUGCCAGCGUCCGGUGCCUAGCCCUAAGCACCAAACUGUUCCAACGGCUAAGGACCCCACCGGACGCACUCACAGAGCGUCCGGUGCAGCGUCCGGUGCCCCUUUGGGAACCCAAACUUCAUCGAAACGCGAUCGCUCCAACACGAAGUUUGUUCCUCUCGAUCUAAGGACUAUCUCUGAGCUGCCUAGUGCUAGGUUUACCAAGUGUGCACCACACCUAAACCUAAAGCCUUGCCUAAGUCAAGCUACUAGAUCAAAGCCCCUCUUAAUAGUACGGUCAAAGGAAAAACAAGGUCCUAAACUACUCUAAGCGCCCUUCUUCACCAUAUGGCACUUAGACCUAGUCUAGUCUUGACGAUGUCCAUCCAUCCUUUGAAAACCGAAACGAUUUCCACUAUUAAGUAGGCAUGUACGUCCCUGUCCAUCGAGUAUCUAUAUACCAUGACCUUACCUAUGACUUUGCCUCUACAAAACACAUGUUAGUCAUAGUAAUCAAUAAUGUCAUUAAUCACCGAAAUCACUAGGGGCCUAGAUGCUCUUUCAAUCUCCCCCUUUUUGGUGAUUGAUGACAACCUCGAGUAUGAAAAGAGUUGAGGUUUUCAAAGUGACUUGGUUUCAAUAAGCAUAUGACAAUAAGACUAAAAGGAUUAGUAAUGCUUAUAUCAACCAAGUCCAAUACCCUGCAUCCAAAUAUGUGAGUGGUAUACGACAGGAUAUAAACACUAGGCUCAUAAGUAUAACGGAGUAGACAUGCGGAAGCAAAAAGUAAUAAGAGCCAAAACACAUGACAAUAAGAUAUCACAAUAACCAAAGUCAUGUCUCACAACCAAAGUAUCUCACACAAGUGCAAUGCAUAAAGGUAAACAUGAUGCAUGAUAAAGUAGCACACAUAACAAGUAUCUCAAAAGAAUAGACUCCUCACAAGAAGACUCCUAAAACCUCUCUAGCUCCCCCUAACUCCUAACUCUCAUACUACGAACUCUCUCCCCCUUUGGCAUCAAGCGCCAAAAACCUAAGAAGUCGGUGGAGGAGGUGGAGCAGUGGAGUCCCUCGGCACGGCCACGAAGCGAGCUGCAUCAUCUGAACUGUCGGCCGUCGAGGUAGAGGAGGUGGAGUGACCCUCUGAAGCUGCAGGUGCUGGAGAAGUGGUCCGGGUCUGCUCUGGCACUGUCACAGGCUGUGUUGGCUGCUCAAGUCCAGCGGACGAAGCUGGCACGGACUCGGUCGCUGUAGCUGUCGUCUCUGGAACGGUAGUAGACGGUGCAAGCUGCUCGGACGACGCUACGGACGACGACAGAAGCUCUGUAGUGGUAACUGGCACCGUAAAGACUGCAGGAGCCUGCAGAGGAGAAGGCGUAGGGUCACCAGUCAGAGCACUGUAGGUGAAGCUGAGGUGCGGAUCUGUCUGUGAGUCCCACACAAGCUACGACGCUGAAGCUGACUGAGGGGUGAAGCCUGAGCGGAGAGGGGUAAACUGCGGUACCUGCUCAAAGCCUGAAGAGAUAGCACCCUGAGAGACCUGGUGCUGUGGCGUCGAAAACGGCUGACUCUGAGCUGGUAGCUGGAGCGGCUGCUGAGACGGGCUCUGAGUCUGAGGCACUGGAGUAGGUGGCCUGACAGUCGACGUGCCUGGGAGCUGGAUCUGCGGUAGCUGAAUCCCUGAGGCGGCCAUGAGAGCGGCCAUCAUCGCUGUCUGCUGGGCCUGGAAAGCAAGCUGCUGCUCCUGAAAAGUGAGAAGCUGACGCUGGAGCUCAUCCUGCCUGGCCUGCAUGGCUGCAUUGAUGGCAGCCUGAUCCCUGUCUCGCCUCGCCUGCUCCUCAGCUGCACGGCGCUGAUCUGCCCUCAUCCCCUCUAAGAUAGCAAGCAGGGCGGGGUCUGAAGUACUCGAAGAGCCGCCUGACUCGUGGUCGUGUGCUCUGGGAGGGAGAUCAGUCACUGGCGGCUGAUAGUCGUCAUCUGAGCUGUCUGAGGCGAAGUCGAACUCGCCUUGUGCCUCUGCAUCGGCGAACGCCCCGAUAGCUACGUCGUGCUGCUCCUCUGUCUCUGCAACAGCUGCUGUACUGCGGGUGCUCCUAGGAGAAGGUGGGGGCACCGGUCCACGUGGAGCAUGAGGAGGAGGGGCACCGCAAAGGUCGUGGUGCGCUCUCAACAUCUGCCGGGGGUCGUAGUGGGGGAAGACGGUGUCGGACUCUGUCAACUCCCUCUGCAAGUGAGCUGGCAGGGGCAGUGGCCUAGCACGAAGUAUAAGCAGGGUGAUCCAAUGUGCGUAGGGCAAUUGACGCCGGCCCCUGAAGCUCUCUGAGAUGGUGUCCUCUAUCUCUGAGACAAUCAGAUCCCACAAGUCAAACUCUGUCUGGGAGAUAAGGUGAGCGACGAGCCACUGCUGCAUACGAGUGAAUCCGUCUCAGUAGCCUGUCCUGGGGAGAAGAGUCUUCCUCAACAUAAAGUCAAGAAUCCUGGCUGGGCGAGUCAAAUCUGCCACUGUCCUGCUGGAGCCCUCCCCAAAAGGUGCACGGAAGCAUGGAGCAACGAAGUCAACCGGUGGUAUCUCACCACCGUGAGGACGACGAGGGGGAUCCACGUUCCCGUAGCACAGCUGGUGAAUCCUGGUGGGAGAGGCUCGUAGUCCAAGCACCUGUCUGGCUGACUGUGCUGUCACUCUGUAGUCGGUCCCUGCCAGUGCGUAGUGGAUAUAACUGUGAUCUGGAGAAAUCCACACUGACGCAUAGAACUCUCUGACCCACUGCUCACAAUAAGUACCGGGGAGCGCUAGCAGCUCUGGGAGUCCGUGGAGGUAAGUGAAAUACUGCCGAAUAUCUGCCCCGACCACAUUCCCGAGAAUCUCUAGGUCAAUCACCCUGUGCUCCCUGAACUGUGACUGAGAACGAACUAGUGCCUCGUGGAUGUCCUCCUGGACGACUGUGUAGAAGCGGGCACCGGCUCUGGGAUCCCUGGCAGCUGGAAACCAGGUCGGAAACGGAACGAAACGCAGCUGCUGGAUCUCUCUGGCUGACACAAGAGUAAAAUCCCGGUGGAUCAUGACUGGCCUCUGGCGGGAAGCUAGAGUGCCUCUAGCCGGAGUGGCACGAGCUGUGGAAGUGGACUGACUCGGUGUGCCGGUCCGAGGAACGGCCUGGGUGCGAGCACGAGUCGACCUCCUGAGUGGCUGCUCCUGCUCCUGUGCUGGACCCUCUGCCUGGGUCUCUGUCUCAGUGUCUGGAUCCUCCUGAGCUGGAUCCCUGACCACAAGCCUAACCCUCUGUCCUCCAAUCGUCACGGUGCCUGGAGGGGAUCCAUGAAAAGCCUCUGCCUCAAGCACUGCACGCCUCUGACGUGGCGUAAGAUCAUCACCGAUCCUCAGAGAACCAGAGCGACCACCCCUCUCGGCUGCCUCAGCCGCUGCUGCAACUGCCUCUGCGACCUCUGCAUCUCUGUCACUGGCCUUCUGCUUCUUUGUGGCCAGCUUCUUGCCUUUUCCCUUCUCUGCCGCUGACAGGUGCCGGGGAGGAUCACCUCCACCAUCUCCUCCUGGAGAACCUCCUGAGCCAGCUGUCGGACCGCUAACAUUCUUGCAACGAGCCAUAGCAAAACAAACGUCCGACAAACAACUGACUGGCAAUGGAGAACAAUGCACUGCAGAGAAUGGACAGGAUAGGGUCUAAAAAAGAAGAUACAUCGACUAGAGAUGAGAUAAACCUAUGGAUAGCAAGAAAAGAUAAGACACGGGCACAAACGGCUUACGAUCGACUGACGAGACGCGUUCCGGAUUAAAAGGUCGCGAUCGGAAACCUCCGGAGACCACGAAUCUUCUCCUAGACGUGCUGCAACGAGAAGACCAUCGAGAUUGGAAUCAAAUCCUAAAUCGAAAGUCAUGGACACAAAAGCUCGAGCACCUUGGGAGAUAGAGCAGAGAACUUACCCCAAGCCCUAAUUUCUUCGCAAGGAAGGAAACCAGAGCGAGGAGAGGGAAGGGAAGAAGUCCCUUAGCAGAUCUGGCGCGGGGGAAAGCUCCAAACUCGUCGGAAAACGGCGCAAGGACGACGGCGGCGGCGCUAGGGCACGGGCGCGGCCAGAGAUUUUGAGGAGGAAGAAGAAAAACCGCCCACGAAACCCUCUGGGCGCGGGCUUUAUCCGCCCGCCGCGGGGUCACCGGACGCUCUUUAUGUUGCACCGGACGCGUCCGGUGACCACCGGACUCAUGCGCAGAGAGGUUUGCAUUUUGGUUUUGCACCGGACGAUGGGCACCGGACGCUGGCUUUAGCGUCCGGUGCUUCAGGUCACACCAGGUGAGCACCGGACGCACCGCACCGGACGCAACAGGGAUACUGUUCCUGCGUCCGGUGAGUACAGUCUGGCGCAUUCACCGCACCGGACGCUCAGAGGCAGCGUCCGGUGCAUCGUCCGGUGCUCCUCUGAGCACUUUUCCAACUAAGCACCACGUCCGACUUUGACCCAACCAAGUUCCUUCUUCAAAAGCACACAAGGAAACACAAAAUGGAACUGGUAUGAGUGACCUCUCUCAAACCCUCAAAUUUUCACAAAUAUUUAGCCAUAGGCUUAGUAGUUUUUAUGAAGGUAGUUCGAGAAAAAUCACCAAGGAGCAUCGUACGGCCAUAAAGCUAGGGGUUUGAAACAUAAUGAGCUUGGAAUGCUCCCCCUAUCUAUGGACGAACACAGCGGAUGCUCAACGAAUAACCGAAAAGAAACGAUGAACUAACAAGCAUGCACAUGAUAUGAGUUGUAAUGCAAUACUUGAGAGAAAACUAAUGCUUGUCAGAUUUGAUCCAAGGUUAAGCUUUUUCACACACACAAGGGGGUUAUCUUAACCAUGUUAGACAAACCCAACAUGCAAGUUAUGUUUUUAGUUUUAACAUGCAUGAUAUGCAAAGCAAAAGUUAUUUACAAGAUUCAACACACAACUUUUAUCUUUUAGUGAAGUUGGAUAGGUCAAGCACAUUAAGUUCAUUUCUCAACAUACAAAACCUAGCUUCAUCUAGGGGUUUUGUGAAGAUAUCCGCCAAUUGAUUUUCCGUUCCCACAUUCUCUAGGGAUAUGUCACCUUUAGCAACAUGAUCCCUAAGGAAGUGGUGACGAAUGUCAAUAUGUUUUGUGCGGGUGUGUUGAACCGGGUUGUUUGCAAGUUUUACGGCACUUUCGUUGUCACACAACAAAGGUACUUUGUCUAGUACUACUCCAUAGUCUAGCAAAGUUUGUUUCAUGUACAGUAUUUGUGCACAACAAGCACCGGCGGCUAUGUAUUCCGCCUCGGCCGUUGAUAAAGCAACACUAUUUUGUUUCUUUGACAUCCAAGAGACAAGAGAUCUACCUAGGAAGUGGCACCCUCCGGAUGUGCUUUUUCUAUCAAUCCGGCACCCGGCAUAAUCCGAGUCGGAAUAGCCUACAAGUUGGAAUCUUGCACCUUUGGGAUACCACAAGCCUAGGCAAGGUGUGUAUUUUAGAUACCUAAGAAUUCUCUUGACCGCAAUCAAGUGAGAUUCCAUAGGCAUUGCUUGAUAUCUUGCACACAUACACACACUAAACAUUAUGUCGGGCCUAGAUGCGGUGAGGUAGAGUAGACUUCCUAUCAUGGAGCGAUAGAGAGUCUUGUCAAUAGGGUUACCUCCCUCAUCCAAGUCGAGAUGCCCAUUUGAUGCCAUGGGAGUCUUGAUUGGCUUGCAAUCCAUCAUCUUAAACCUCUUGAGAAGAUCUUGAGUGUACUUCUCUUGAGAGAUGAAGACCCCUUCCUUCAUUUGUUUGACUUGAAAUCCUAGGAAGAAGGAUAGCUCGCCAAUCAUGGACAUCUCAAACUCCUUGGACAUCAAAUCACCAAAUUCCUUGCAAAAAUCUUCAUUAGUAGAGCCAAAAAUAAUAUCAUCAACAUAAACUUGGCAAAUGAAGAUUUCCCCAUUCAUUUUCUUGGUGAAGAGUGUUGUGUCAACUUUCCCAAUCUUGAAGCCCUUCUCAAUGAGGAAGUCCCUAAGCCUCUCAUACCAAGCUCUAGGAGCUUGCUUGAGACCAUAGAGAGCCUUGGACAACCGGUAGACAUGCUUGGGGUACCUAGGGUCUUCAAAACCGGGGGGUUGCUCAACAUAGACAAGCUCAUUAAUAUAACCAUUUAAAAAGGCACUUUUCACAUCCAUUUGAAAUAAUUUGAUAUCAUGACUUGAUGCAUAUGCAAGUAGGAUACGGAUUGCUUCAAGUCUUGCCACCGGUGCAAAGGUUUCACCGAAGUCAAGACCUUCCACUUGUGAAAAGCCUUUUGCCACAAGUCUUGCCUUGUUGCGCACCACUUUGCCUUGAUCAUCCUUCUUGUUCCGGAAGACCCAUUUUGUUCCAAUCACUCUUGCAUCUUUGGGUCGCUCUUCAAGUGUCCAAACUUGAUUGCGAGAGAAGUUGUUCAACUCCUCUUGCAUGGCCAUGAUCCAAUCCGCAUCACGAAGAGCUUCCUCUAUAGUCUUUGGUUCAUCUUCAAGAGACACAAAAGCGUGAUGUUCAAUAAAUAAAGCAUGUCUAGAACGAGUAGUUACACCACGUGAUGGACUCCCGAUGAUGAGAUCUUGAGAGUGAUCUUGGAGGAGAUGUGAUGUUCUUCUUGGUGCCACUUGAGGGGUUGGUUGGGGAGCAUCAACAUCUUGUGCUUGUGCCACUGUUUGCUCAUGAGUGACUUGGGUGUCUUCAUGAGCAUCUCUCACAUCCUUGUCUUCAUCUUGUGGACCUUGUGAGGUGGAUGGUGGCUCAAUGACUUGCACAUCAUCAUCAUCUUCUUUAGGCUUGAUGUCUCCCACCGGCAUGUUCUUCAUGGCAUCCCUCAAUGGUUCACCACCUACAUCAUCAAGAUUAUCACUAGCUCUUUGGGAGCCAUUAGUUUCAUCAAAUUCAACAUCAAAUGUUUCUUCAACCAUGUUUGUGGCAUGGUUAAAGACCCUAUAUGCCUUGGACUUUGAUGAAUAGCCAACCAAGUAGCCAAUGUCACAUCUUCUUUGGAACUUUCCCAAAUGUUGGCGCUUCUUGUAGAUGUAGCACUUGCACCCAAACACUCUAAAGAAUGAGACAUCAGGCUUCUUCCCAUUGAGCAACUCAUAUGGUGUCUUCUCUAGGAACUUGUGUGGAAAGAGCCGGUUUGAAGCAUAGCAUGCCGUGUUGAUUGCCUCAGCCCACAUCUUCUCCGAAGUGUUAUACUCAUCUAGCAUUGUUCUUGCCAAGGUAAUCAAAGUCCGGUUCUUUCUUUCUACAACCCCAUUUUGUUGUGGUGUGUAUGUUGAGGAGAACUCAUGCUUGAUUCCCACUUCAUCACAAUAUUCUUCAAUGUUGGUGUUGUCAAACUCUUUGCCAUUGUCACUUCUAAUUUUCUUGAUCUUCACAUCAAAUUGAUUUUGAGCAUUCUUUGCAAACUUCUCGAAUAUUGAUGCAACUUCGGCCUUGUCUUGCAAGAAGAAUGUCCAAGUGUACCGGGAGAAAUCAUCAACUAUGACCAAACAAUAUUUGUUGCCUCCAAGACUAGCAUAUGUGGUUGGUCCAAACAAAUCCAUGGAAGUAGCUCAAGCACUCUUGAAGUAGAGAGAUAGGCUUUGGUUGGAUGAGUGUUUGCAACUUGUUUGCCCGCUUGACAUGCACUACAAAGCUUGUCUUUUUCAAAUGUCACAUCCUUCAAGCCUCUAAUCAAUUCUUUCUUCAUCAACUUCUUGAGUGUGCCCAUUCCAACAUGUGCUAACCUUCUAUGCCACAACCACCCAAGUGAAGUCUUGGUGAAUAAGCAAGUCUUGACAUUAACUUCAUUGGAUGAGAAGUCAACCACAUAUAAGUUGUUGUGCCGGAAGCCUUUGAAUAUCACUUCAUUGUCAUCUUCCUUGGUCACAAUUACUUCCUUCUUCUUGAAUAGGCAUUCAAAUCCAAGGUCACAUAAUUGUCCAACCGAGAGCAAAUUGAAACUCAAAGAUUGCACAUAGAGCACAUUGGUGAUGGAGUUGUCAUUUGAUAUAGCAACCUUUCCUAGUCCCUUGACUUUCCCUUUUGAAUUGUCACCAAAUGUGAUCUUCUCUUGGUUGUCAACAUCUUCAUCAAGAAAGGUGAACAUCCGGGGAUCUCCGGUCAUAUGUUGAGUGCAACCACUAUCAAUUACCCAAUGUGAUCCACCGGUCUUGUAGUUCACCUACACACAAGAGAUCAAGCUUGAGAUUUAGGGACCCACAUUUGCUUAGGGCCCUUGACCUUCUCUACUAGUUGCUUUGGCACCCAAAUCUUCUUUGGCCUUUGCUUGUUUGGUGGCCCCAUGAAGCUAACCUUGACCUUGCCACACUUGUCUUUUCUUACAAUGUAAUGAGCAUUGAAGGCAACUGGUCUUGCAUGCUUGGGCAAGGGUGGUGGUAGUGGUGCCUUACACUCAUGAGCAAAGUGUCCUUCUUGACUACACUCAAAACAUCUUUUUGGCUUUGGCUUGCUUGCUUGAUCAUGAGUGACUAGAGACUUGAUGAGCUUUGUUUGAUGAGCCUUAUAGCCAAUCCCACUCUUGUCCAUCUUCAUGACGGUGUUCAUGAAAAGCUCACUUUGAAGGUCCUUCCCUUUUGUGAACUUUGCUAACCCCAAGGUUAGGUGUUCCUUCUCUUUCUUGAGCUUGUUGUUCUCUUGAGUUAGCUUCUUGAUGAUUGGGUCAUUGUUGCUAGCUAACUCAUCCAAGAUGAAUGUCUCAUCUUCUUCUUGCUUGUCAUACAUCAAACCAAGCUUGAGAUAUUGAUUUUCUUCUUUGAGUAACUUGUUCUCAUAUGCAAGUUUCUUGUCUUGAUCAAGUGACUCAAUUACAAUGGUGUUGUGCUUGGAUUGGUCUUGCAACUCUUUCUUGAGCAUGACAAUUUCAUCCUUGAGCUUGAUAGUGUCCUCAUAACUCUCGGCCACUACCACUUUCUUGCCCUUGCAAUCAACACAUUUGCUUGUGCUCUCCACAAGUCAUCACAAGAUGUGGCUACAUCAAGCUUAGCAACAUUGUUAGUAGCAACAUGUGUUUCAUCAAUUGCAAGUUCAUAAGCAAUCUCAAGGUUGUCAUAGUUUGCUUUUAGAGUUGUUAGUUCUUCUUUCAUUGCUCUAUAUCUAGUGAUAAGCUCAUCAUGAACACUCUCAAGUUUAUCAUGUUUUUCUUUGAGCUCUUUUAGAGAGUUUGAGCUCCUUGAGCUUAGUGGUCAUGAUCUCCUUUUGUUCUCUAAGCUCAUCACUAGAGUUAAGCUUUGCUAGAAGUGUAUCAUUUUCAAGUUCAAGCUUUUCAUUUUCACUUCUAGUCUUUCUUAUGACUUUUGUGUAUUUGUUUAGCAAUUUUACAAGUUCAUCAUAAGAAGGUGAUUCAUAUUCACUAUCACUUUCACUACUCUCAUCCUCACUUUGUACCUUCCGGUCACCUUUGGCCAUAAGGCAUAGGUGUGUAGAGGAUGUAGAUGGUGGUGAAGAUGAUGGUGAUGGAGCAUCGAUGGCGAUAGCGGCAACCUUCUCAUCAUCACUUUCAUUGCCGGAGGAGUCACCACUUGAGCUUUCAAUGUCGGUGAGCCAAUCACCAACAAUAUAAGCCUUGCCAUUUUUCUUCUUGUAGUGCUCCUUCUUCUUGCCACCUUUCUUCUUGUAUUGCUUCUUGUCAUUUUUCUCAUCAUCACUUGAGUCAUCUUGCUCUUUGUUCUUCUUCUUGUACUUGUCCUUCUUGGGCUUUGGACAUUGAUGAGCAAGAUGACCAAGCUCACCACAAUUGUAGCAAUCCAUCUCGGAGAUGGGCUUCCUCUUGCUACUUGUGAAGAACUUCUUCUUCUUGGAGUCAAAGUUGACUCCAUUCUUGUUGAGCUUCUUCAACAUCUUGGUGGUUCUUCUCACCAAGAGGGCAAUAGAUGCAUCAUCAUCACUUGAAGUUGUUGACUCAACUUCAAUCUUCUUGGCUUUGCCCUUGUGAGAAGCUUUGAGAGCCAAGUCCUUCUUUUCUUUCUUGGCCGAUGAGGAGCCAUCUUGAGGGUUCAUGUGCAUGUACAUCUCAUGAGCAUUGAUCUUCCCCAAUAUGGUGGUUGGUGUAGCGGUGGAAAGAUCGCCUUGAUGAAGCACGGUUACUAUGUGCCCAUAUUUCUCAAUGGGAAGCACACAUAGUAUCUUCCUUGCAACAUCCGCCGUACUCAUUUGUGUAAGCCCAAGUCCAUUUAGCUCCUCUACAAUGACAUUCAAGCAAGAAUACAUUUCAUUAGCAUUUUCUUUAGGAAGCAUUUCAAAAGUAUUAAGCUUGUUCAUCACUAGGUGAUAGCGUUCCUCGCGUUCACUCUUAGUUCCCUCAUGGAGCGCACAAAGUUCAUUCCAAAGUUCAUUGGCGGUUUUGUGGCUCCGAACACGGUUGAACACUUCUUUGCAAAGACCUCUAAAAAUGUGGUUUUUGGCCUUUGCAUUCCACUUCUCGUUUUCUUGCUCUUGUGGAGUAAGAGCGGUGGCUCUUUCCAGAGGGGCAAACCCUUCGGUCGCGGCUUUUAGGCACUUUACAUCGCAUGCCUCAAGGUAUGACUCCAUCCGUAUUUUCCAAUACGGGAAGUCAUCCCCAUCGAACAUGGGUGGCGGUCCAUCCCCGUUAGACAUCUUUCUCUAGGCGGUGAAGCCUAAAUAAUGAGCACUAGGCUCCGUUACCAAUUGAAAGGAUCAAGAUGCCCAAGAGGGGGGGUGAAUUGGGCUUCUCUAAAAAUUUAAGCAACCUAUAAGCUUCAAUUCAACCUCUUGUGCCUAGUGUAACUUAGAGAGCUACCGGAUAAAAAGUUUUGCAACCUAGUUCCAAUCCUAUUCUAGCAUGGCAAUUCUAAGAAUGUAAAAACACAAAGUAAAUACUAGAAAGUAAAGGAGUAGUGGAAGAAAUUGCUCGGCGAUGUUUUGCCGAGGUAUCGGAGAGUCGCCACUCUCCACUAGUCCUCGUUGGAUCACCCGCGCAAGGGUCUUCCUCCCCCUUGGUCCGCGCAAGGACCAAGUGCUCUCUAGGGGCUGAUUCUUCGACACUCCGUCGCGGUGAAUCGCCCAAAAACCGCUCACAAGCUUGACACGAGCCACCCACAAGAACUCCGGGUGAUCUUCGUGCCUCCAAUCACCACCGAACCGUCUAGGUGAUGGCGAUCACCAAGAGUGACAAGCAAAGAACUCUCACUUGACCCAAACAAGGCACUAGAGAGUGAUGGAUGCACACUUGACUCUUGGAACUCACUAGAGGAGGAUUCUCUCAAGAAUUCACUCAAAAACCAAUCCUCUCUAGGCUCUUUGCAACUCUCUUGCUCCACAACAAGUUUCUCUGAUGUUCAAAUGGGCAAGAGAGGUCUCAUGGACGAGGUGGAGAAGUAUAAAUACUAUCCACGAAGUCCAAAGGUCGGCCAACCGUUUUCCACUAAAAAACGGGGUCACCGGACGCACGUUAUGUUGCACCGGACGCACUGCACCGAGCGUCCGGUGUGACAUAACGGCUACCUGCGCUUUUCUCUGACAGGUCACCGGACGCUAACUCUCAGCGUCCGGUGCACCGUCCGGUGCUCGGGGAAACCUUACAUGCUCCCUGCGCAUGGGACCGGACGCUACCCGGCGCGUCCGGUGCUAGCGUCCGGUGCUCAGGGGAACUUUGCAAGCUCCCUGGGUAAGGGACCGGACGCUGCCCGGUGCGUCCGGUGCCAGCGUCCGGUGCCUAGCCCUAAGCACCAAACUGUUCCAACAGCUAAGGACCUCACCGGACGCACUAACAGAGCGUCCGGUGCAGCGUCCGGUGCCCCUUUGGGCACCCAAACUUCGUCGAAACGCGAUCGCUCCAACACGAAGUUUGUUCCUCUCGAUCUAAGGACUAUCUCUGAGCUGCCUAGUUCUAGGUUUACCAAGUGUGCACCACACCUAAACCUAAAGCCUUGCCUAAGUCAAGCUACUAGAUCAAAGCCCCUCUUAAUAGUACGGUCAAAGGAAAAACAAGGUCCUAAACUACUCUAAGCGCCCUUCUUCACCAUAUGGCACUUAGACCUAGUCUAGUCUUGACGAUGUCCAUCCAUCCUUUGAAAACCAAAACGAUUUCCACUAUUAAGUAGGCAUGUACGUCCCUGUCCAUCGAGUAUUUAUAUACCAUGACCUUACCUAUGACUUUGCCUCUGCAAAACACACGUUAGUCAUAGUAAUCAAUAAUGUCAUUAAUCACCGAAAUCACUAGGGGCCUAGAUGCUCUUUCACAUACAUCCUCCAAGAAAAGUUCUCAAGCUUCAAGAUGCAAGAAGAUGAAAGUGUGCCGGAGAUGUUUCACCGGUUGCAAGUCAUUGUGAAUGAACUCAAGGCACUUGGGGAAGAACUAAAAGAUAGUCAAUUCUCUAUGAAGUUCUUGAGAAGCUUGCCCAAGAGAUUUGACACAUUGAUCACCGUGCUAGUCAAGACAACUCUUAGUGAAUCAACUCCCCAACAAGUCUUUCAAGAGGUGAUGACGGAUGAUGCAUAUAGAGAAGAUGAUGAGAAGGAUGAGUUGAUCAAGAAGAAGAAGAAGGAUGGUGAGAAGAAAGAUGAUGAGAAGAAGAAAAGUGUGGCAUUCAAGGCCUCCACAUCCAAGGGCAAAGCCAAGCAAGAAUCAUCAAGUGAAGAAGAAGCAAGAUCUUGUGAUAGUGAUGAAGAUGAGGAGAUGGCUCUUCUUGUCAAGAGAUUUGGCAAGUUCAUGAAGAAGAAAGGCUAUCAGGCAAGAAGGAAGAAGAGCUCCUCAAAGAAGAAUGAUCAUUCCAUGAGGUGUUUUAGAUGCCAUAGCAAGGAUCAUCUCAUUGCUAAAUGUCCUUAUGAUAGUGAUGAUGAAGAUGCUAUCAAGAAGGAAAGAAAGAAGCAAAAGAAGAAGCAAGAAAAGAAGGAAGGCUCAAACAAGAAGAAGGGUGAUGCCCAUGUUGCAACUUGGGAUAGUGAUGACUCCUCAAGUGAUGAUGAGAGCACCAAGAAGAAGGCGCAUGCUAGCAUUGCAAUUCAAGGAAAGAGCUCCAUCUUCGACACUCCAUCAUGCUUCAUGGCUAAGGCCACUAAUGUAUCAUCCGAUGAUGAGAGUGACCAUGCUAGUGAUAGUGAUAGUGAUAGUGAUGAUGAUGAACCAACUAAAGAUGAACUAAUCACUAUGCUAGAAGAUUGCACUCAUCACUAUAAAGAAACUAGAAAGGAGUGCAAGGCUUUGCUUAAGGAUAAGAAAACCCUUGAGCAAGAACUUGAUGAGCUUAGAGCAUCCUAUGAGAGUCUAAAGGAAGACCAUAAGAAGCUUCAAAAGGCUCACACUAAGCUUGAAGAAGCUCAUUCCUCUCUAGUUAACAAAUGUAAAAAUGAGCCAACUAAAAUUGAAAAAGCUAAAACUUGCAACAUAGGCCUAACAUGUGAUAUCUUAAGUAAGCCUAUUGUUGUUGCUUCUACUAACCCUUCAUGUAGCACAUCUACAUCAUCCUCAUCUAGUGGUGAUGGUUUCACUUGUGACACCACACUAAAAGUUGAGAAUGAAAUUCUCAAGAAGGAGGUGAAAGAGCUCAAUCACACCUUAGCCAAGGCUUAUGGUGGUGAGGACCGCUUGCUUAUGUGCUUGGGUAGCCAAAGAGCUUCUCUCUACAAAGAGGGAUUAGGCUUUAACCCCAAGAAAGGCAAGGCCGCCUUUGCUCCUCACAAGACUAGUUUUGUGAAGAACAAUGGCCGGUAUUGCAAAGCUUGCAAGCAAGUUGGUCACUUAGAGCAACAAUGCAUGAACAAGAAACCCAAAGCACAUGUAUCCUCAAUUAAGCUAAAUUCUUUCUAUGUGCUUACCAAGGAUACAAAAGGUGUUCAUGCUAAGUUCAUUGGUGCACCGUGGAUGGGCUCAAAGAAGAAAGCCAUAUGGGUACCUAAGAGCUUAGUUGCUAACAUUGGAGGACCCAAUCAAGUUUGGGUACCUAAAAAGAAUUGAUCUUGUCUUGUAGGUCAAUUACAAAGCCGGAGGAAGGCAUUGGGUGCUUGAUAGUGGGUGCACUCAAGACAUGACCGGGGAGUCUUGUAUGUUCAAAUCAAUUGACACAAAUCAAAAUGGUGGCUUUGAUUCUAUCACUUUCGGCAACAACAAGAAAGGCAAGGUCAAAGGGCUUGGUAAAAUUGCUAUCUCAAAUGACAUGAGCAUAUCAAAUGUGUUGCUAGUUGAGAGCCUUGAUUUCAAUCUCUUGUCAAUUGCACAACUUUGCGACCUUGGUUUCAAGUGCAUCUUUGGUAGUGAUGAUGUUGAGGUGGUUAGUGUUGAUGGAUCAAACUUCAUAUUCAAAGGAGUUAGGCAUGGUAGCUUAUACUUGGUUGAUUUCAAUGAUAGUGACACUCAAUUGACAUCAUGCCUAAUUAGCAAAUCAAGUUUGGGUUGGUUGUGGCAUAGAAGGCUUGGUCAUGUUGGAAUGAAACAAUGGAACAAACUAUUGAGGCAUGACUUAGUUAGAGGCUUGAAGGAUGUCACCUUUGAGAAGGAUAAACCAUGUAGUGCUUGUCAAGCCGGAAAGCAAGUUGGAAAUGCACAUCCUAAGAAAAGUGAAAUGAGCACAUCAAAGGCAUUUGAGCUAUUGCAUAUGGAUUUAUUUGGGCCAACAACAUACACUAGCAUUGGUGGCAACAAGUAUGGAUUUGUAAUAGUAGAUGACUACACUAGAUACACUUGGGUGUUCUUCCUUUAUGACAAGAGUGAUGUUUGUGAUCUAUUCAAGUCUUUUGUCAAGAGGGUGCAAAAUGAGUUUGAAACCACUAUCAAGAAGAUUAGAAGUGAUAAUGGUAGUGAAUUCAAGAACACAAGAAUUGAGGAAUUAUGUGAUGAUCUUGGCAUUGGACAUCAAUUCUCUCCAACAUACACUCCUCAAUCCAAUGGUGUAGUUGAAAGGAAGAAUAGAACCUUGAUUGAUAUGGCUAGAUCAAUGCUUAGUGAAUACAAUGUUAGCCAUUCAUUUUGGAGUGAAGCUAUCAACACGGCUUGCUAUUGUAGCAACCGUCUCUAUUGCCAUGGGAAGCUUGGGAAGACACCAUAUGAGCUAUUGAAUGGAAGAAAGCCUAACAUUGCAUACUUUAGAGUGUUUGGUUGCAAAUGCUACAUUCUCAAGAAAGGCAUUAGAUUGAGCAAGUUUGAGAAGAAAUGUUUUGAAGGGUUCUUACUUGGUUAUUCCACCACAAGCAAGGCAUAUAGAGUUUGGAACUUGGCAAGUGGCACAUUGGAAGAAGUCCAUGAUGUUGAAUUUGAUGAAACCGAGGGAUCUCAAAAUGAAGCUCAAAAUCUUGAUGAUGUGAGGGGAGAUCAAUUGGCAAAUGCAAUGAAGAACAUAGAUGUAGGUGACAUAAGGCCAAGGCAAGUUGAUGAUGAUAAUGACAUACACAUGAUCAAUCAAGAAGUGCAAAUUGAUACAAAUCAAGCAAGUACUAGUGGCUCUCAUGAUGAUGAUCAAAAUCAAAGACAAGCUAGUGGAAGUAAUCAACUCCCAAUACUCCAACCUACAAGCAUAGCAAGGGAUCAUCCAUUGGAUCAAGUUAUUGGUGGUAUUCAAAGUGGUGUGCAAACAAGAUCAAGGCUAGCAUCCUUUUGUGAGCACUACUCAUUUGUCUCAUUUGAGGAACUAAAGAAAAUAGAAGAUGCAUUGAAGGAUUCUGAUUGGGUAAAUGCCAUGCAUGAAGAAUUGGACAACUUCACAAGAAAUCAAGUGUGGGAGCUUGUUGAGAGGCCAAAGAACUACAAUGUGAUUGGCACCAAGUGGGUCUUUAGAAACAAGCAAGAUCAAGAUGGUGUAGUUGUGAGAAACAAAGCAAGAUUAGUAGCACAAGGCUACACUCAAGUUGAAGGUCUUGACUUUGGAGAAACAUAUGCACCGGUUGCAAGAUUGGAGGCAAUUAGAAUAUUAUUAGCCUAUGCUUGUGCCCACAACAUCAAGCUCUAUCAAAUGGAUGUGAAGAGUGCAUUUCUCAAUAGAUACAUAAAUGAGUUGGUUUAUGUUGAACAACCUCCCGGUUUUGAAGAUGACAAGAAACCCAACCAUGUUUACAAGCUCAAGAAGGCAUUGUAUGGUUUGAAGCAAGCACCUAGAGCAUGGUAUGAGAGAUUGAGAGAUUUUCUUCUCUCUAAAGGGUUCAAGAUGGAAAAGGUUUACACUACCCUCUUCACCAAGAAGCUAGGCAAUGACUUGUUUGUGUUGCAAAUCUAUGUUGAUGAUAUCAUUUUUGGAUCAACCAAUCAAGACUUUUGUGAAGAGUUUGGAAGAAUGAUGGCAAAUGAGUUUGAAAUGUCAAUGAUUGGAGAGCUUAGUUACUUCCUUAGACUUCAAAUCAAGCAAAUGAAGGAUGGCACUUUUGUAAGUCAAGGCAAGUACAUCAAGGACAUGAUCAAGAAAUUUGGGUUGCAAGAAGCUAAACCAAUGAGCACACCUAUGGGCACAAAUGAUCAAUUGGGUAGUGAUGCUAGUGGCAACAUGGUAGAUCAAAAGCUAUACCGGUCCAUGAUUGGAAGUUUGCUCUAUGUCACCGCAUCAAGGCCAGAUGUAAUGUUUAGUGUGUGCAAGUGUGCAAGAUACCAAGCUUCACCUAGAGAGAGUCACUUGAAGGCAACCAAGAGGAUAUUGAGGUAUCUUAAAGGCACUCAUGAUGUUGGAUUAUGGUAUCCCAAGGGGUCUAUCUUUGAAUUGAUUGGAUAUUCGGACUCCGACUAUGGUGGAUGCAAGAUUGAUAGAAUGAGCACAAGUGGCACUUGUCAAUUGCUAGGAAGGUCUCUAGUUUCAUGGUCAUCAAAGAAACAAAAUAGUGUUGCACUAUCAACCGCCGAGGCCGAAUACAUUAGUGCCGGUAGUUGUUGUGCACAAUUGCUUUGGAUGAAAGCUACCUUGAAUGACUUUGGAAUCAAAUUCAAGAAUGUGCCUUUGCUAUGUGACAAUGAGAGUGCAAUCAAGAUGACACAAAAUCCGGUUCAACAUUCAAGAACCAAGCACAUUGACAUAAGGCAUCACUUCAUAAGAGAUCAUCAACAAAAGGGUGAUAUUAGCAUUGAAAGCAUUGGCACCGAAGAUCAACUAGCCGACAUAUUCACAAAGCCACUUGAUGAGAAGAGAUUUUGCAAGUUGAGAAAUGAACUGAACAUACUUGACUUCUCCAACUUGAGAUGAGUGCACCCCCACAUUUUUAUAUGGCAUGCCUCUCCUCCAACAAAGCAAGGUAAAGAUGGUUGACAUAGCAUUCAUACUUUGCUAAGGACAUGAUUAGAACAUAUAAACAUGUUUGCAUGACAAAUAGGCUCAUUCAUGAAAAUCAAAAGAUUUUGAUGUAUGUAUGGUACCACUAUUGCUCCUAUGUUUGAUCGAUCUAGUGGUAGCAUAUGACAUGUUUGUGAGCUUGUAAGCCUAGUGUUGAAUCUAGAAUAUGAGCUUAUGAUGUGUAAUUCAACAUGGUCAAGAUAACCCUUAUACUUUAUGAGGUGUGAAAAAGCUUGUCCUUGGAUCAAACCGAAUUACAUGUUUUAGGCAAGUGAUCUAGAUUGAACCAUAAUUUGACCCUCACAUUGAUUGACUUAAUUCUCACUAAAAUUUGAACCUUUGUGGUCAUUGAUGACAAAGGGGGAGAGAAACAAAGAUAAAGUCAUAAAGGGGAGAAAAGUGCUUAAGGGGGAGAGAUAACUUUUGGAAAAUUAAAUUAAAACUUGAGCACACAAAUAGGGGGAGUAAGCUCAUGAACCAUUUGUUGCAUUUGAAUGUGCACUAACAUAAUGAGGUGUUGCAUUGCAAGUAUAAAUAUACUACUCUUGUUUGAUUGGUGCUUGCUAGAAAUAGAACUUAAAUGAUGCUUUGAAUUCUAGCAUAGAGUUUUAUUUUGAUGUGGUAUCUAGACAUAUAAUGUGAUCUCACGAGGUAUCUUGAGUUUUUGAUGUAUGUCUAGCUACAUUGGUGCUAAGGAUGGUAUAUUGUCAACUCCGAUUGGUAUCACACUUCAAAGGUCCAUUCUAUAUACCAUGGCAUCAUGUUGGUAGUAAUAAUUCUCCCAAAAUUCCAAUUCUUGCAUAUGUGCAAACUUGAACCAAACUCAUGGAAGCACAUAUGUAGGGGGAGCUAGUACUAUCAAAACUGAAAUUGAAAUGUUUGUCCAACCUUGUCUCAUGAUUAAGAUGCUUUGGACAAGCAAUUCAAGUUAUUAUGAUUUCAUUUCAUAUCUUUGUGAUGGUUGUCAUCAAUUACCAAAAAGGGGGAGAUUGAAAGCCCAAGUUUGGUUUUGGUAAUUAAUGACACCAAGUUGCUAAUGCCUAGUAUUUAAGUGAUUUUAGUUAGGCAUAGCAACACACGUGAUGAAGGUGCAUGGUGGCAUGGAAAGGUGGCCACAUGAUCACAAAGGGAUGAAGCAUGAAGUGAAGAUCAUGGUGAUAGACGAGGAGCAAAGUUAUCAAGGCAAAGGUAUAAACAUAGGGUUUUACUUUUGCCGGUCUAAGAUGAGUAGAGAAGUGAUUGACCGGGUUUAGGAUAGAUAGCCGACUAUCAAGAGGGGAAAUCACGGUCAUCUCUCGAAUCAAGUGCUACUAGGUCUACAUCUUGAGCAUAUGCAUGAGGAUCUAGUAAAGUGCUAACUUAACUCCUUUGGGUAAAAAUGUUUGUGAAAAGCUAACACACAUGCACUUUGGUGGUGGACAUUCGCAAGCUCGGCAGGAUUCGGCGCUUUUGAGAAAAAUAAGUGUAUAUUUUCUAUUGCGCCGGUGGGAUCUAUGGAGAAGUCGCAGGUGUGUUUUCUCACUAAGAAACACUCACCGGACGCUGAGUGCGGAGGCACCGGACGCUGGCCUCAGAGUCCAGUGUGCUUGACCCUGCUAGGGUUGAGCACCGGACGCACUCUGUGAGCGUCCGGUGGUUAGCGUCUGGUGCGCGGGCGUUUUGCGACCCACUAUGCGCAUGGGUCCGGUGAGCACCGGACGCUACCGGUGCUUAGCGUCCGGUGACCCGCAGGUUUGCGGAACUCUCUGCGCAUGAGUCUGGUGUGCACCAGACGCGUCUGGUGUGGACAUGCAGAGCGUCCGAUGAUCCACAGGUGACUAUUAGGAUCUGACACGUGAGAUUCAGGACGGACACGUGGCCAACUCCAGUGCACCGGACGCAGGGAGUCGAGCGUCCGGUGCUCACUUAGUAGCGUCCGGUGCCCCCGAUUUCUGCCCAGUGAAAGUGGCCAACGGCUAGUUCUUUGAGGGGGCUUAUAAAUAGUUGGUGGCCGGCUUUGGGAGAUUCUCUCUUGCACAUUUGAUUACUUGAGGCAUACAUUGAGCUAGAGAUCACAAUUGGCUACUCUAGUGGAUUGCUCGUGGCUUGGAGAAUCCCCAUCUUGUGAGUGGAUGUGCGGCACCCGCUGAGGGUUUGGCUUUGGAUUGCCAAUUAGCUCGUGAUCCAUCAAGUGGGUGUAUCGCCACAACGAGGACUAGCUUGUCGGGAAGCAAGUGAACAUCGGUAAAUAUCUUGUGUCAUCCCUUGCCGAGGAUUCUCUUGUGAUUGUGAGUGAUUGGUUCGAUAUAUCUCUACUCUACAACGUUGGUAUAACAAUCACUCUCCACUCCUUUACUCACUUGUUUAGGAGUGUAGCUAGCUUUCUUAGUUGUUGUGUUUUAGUGUUUAGCCUUGUACUAGUUUCUAUUGGUGGCUUGCAUAGCUUAGUUGAGCUAGUGCUAGUUUUGCUUCGCCAUUUGUUUUACUAACUCACUUGCUUAGUGAAGUUUGUAGAAAUUUUAAAUAGGCUAUUCACCCCCUCUAGCCAUUUGGACCUUUCAACACGUCAUCAAGGAGUUCCAUCGGGUGCAUCCAAAUUGAUUUCCAAGCAUAUGGUAUGUUCCAUGCAAACCGUGCACCUAUCUUGCAUCAAGAUUAGCACUAUCUCCAAACAGACUGAACCGAGCAUCCACUUGAGCCCCUUCACCUAGGAGUACCAACAAGUGUGUCCAAAAUGGUUUCUUAGACUAUGGUGCAUUAGGUGCAAACUGUGCACCUAUCUUGCAUCAAGAUUAGCACUAUCUCCAAACAAACCAAACUGAGCUUUCACUUGAGCACCUUGACCUAGUAGUACCAUCGGGUGCAUCCAAAAUGGUUUCUUAUCUUAUGGUGCAUUAGGUGCAAACCAUGCACCUAUCUUGCACCGAAACUAACACUGUCUCCAAACGGACCGAAGUGGGAUUCCAUAUGACACAUGUCAUCUAGGAGUUCCAUCUAUUGCGUAUAAAUUGAUUUCUGAGCAUAUGGUAUGUUCCAUGCAGACCGUGCAUCUAUCUUGCAUCAAGAUUAGCACUAUCUCCAAAUAGACCAAACCGAGCUUUCACUUGAGCCUUUUACCUAGGAGUACCAUCGGGUGCGUCCAAAAUGGUUUCUUAGCCUAUGCUGCAUUAUGUGCAAACUUUGCACCUAUCUUGCACCGAAACUAACACUGUCUCCAAGCAUACCCAAGCAAGAUUUUGUAUGACACACGUCAUCUAGGAGUUCCAUCAUGUGCGUCCAGAUUGAUUUCCAAGCAUUGGGUAUGUUCCAUGCAAACCGUGCACCUAUCUUGAAUCAAGAUUAGUACUAUCUCCAAACAGACCGAACCGAGCAUCCACUAGAGACCCUUCACCUAGGAGUGCCAACAAGUGCGUCGAAAAUGGUUUCUUAGGCUAUGGUGCAUUAGGUGGAAACUGUGCACCUAUCUUGCACCGAAACUAACAAUGUCUUCAAAUGGAUCGAAGCGAGAUUCCAUAUGAUACAUGUCAUCAAGGAGUUCCAUCGGGUGCAUCCAAAUUGAUUUCCAAGCGUAUGGUAUGUUCCAUGCAAACCGUGCACCAAUCUUGCAUCAAGAUUAGCACUAUCUCCAAACAAACCGAACCAAGCAUCCACUUGAGCCCCUUAACCUAGGAGUACCGACAAGUGUGUCCAAAAUGGUUUCUUAGACUAUGGUGCAUUAGGUGCAAACGGUGCAUAUCUUGCACCGAAACUAACAAUGUCUCCAAAUGACCGAAGCGAGAUUCCAUAUGAUACAUGUCAUCAAGGAGUUCCAUCGGGAGCAUCCAAAUUGAUUUCCAAGCAUAUGGUAUGUUCCAUACAAACCAUGCACCUACCUUGCAGAAGGAUCAGCACUAUCUCCAAACUGACCGAACUAAGCUUCCACUUGAGCCUCUUCAACUAGGAGUACCAAAUAGUGCGUCCAAAACGGUUUCUUAGACUAUGGUGCAUUAGGCGCAAACUGUGCACCUAUCUUGCACUAAAACUUACAAUGUCUAUAAAUGGACCGAAGCAAGAUUCCAUAUGACACGUCAUCUAGGAGUUCCAUUGGGUGCGUCCAAAUUGAUUUCUAAGCAUAUGGGAUGUUCCUUGCAAAUCAUGCACCUAUCUUGCAUCAAGAUUAGCACUGUCUCCAAAUAGAUCAAACUGAGCUUCCACUUGAGCCUCUUCACCGAAGUACCAACAGGUGCUUCCAAAAUGGUUUCUUAGACUAUGGUGCAUUAUGCGCAAACCAUGCACAUAUCUUGCACCGAAACUAACACUGUUUCUAAACAGACCAAAGUGAGAUUCCAUAUGACACACGUCAUCAAGGAGUUCCAUCGGGUACAUCCAAAUUGAUUUGCAAGCAUAUGGUAUGUUCCAUGCAAACCGUGCACCUAUCUUGCAUCAAGAUUAGCACUAUAUCCAAACAGACCGAAGCGAGCUUCCACUUGAGCCUCUUCAUCUAGGAGUACAAACAGGUGUGUCAAAAAUGGUUUCUUAGACUAUGUUGCGUUAGGCACAAACUAUGCACCUAUCUUGCACCGAAACUAACAUUGUCUCCAAACAGACCGAAGCGAGAUUCCAUAUGACACACGUCAUCUAGGAGUUCAAUUGGGUGCAUCCAAAUUGAUUUCUUAAAAUAUGGUACAUUGCAUUCAAACUGUGCAACUAUCUUGCAUCAAGAUUAGCACUAUAUCCGAACAGACCAAAUCGAGCCUCCACUUGAGCCUCUUCAACUACGAGUACCAUCAGGUGCGACUAAAAUGGUUUCUUAGCCUAUGGUGCAUUAGGCGUAAACCAUACGCAUAUCUUCUACCAAAACUAACACUGUCUCUAAACGAACUGAAGCAAGAUUCCAUAUGACACAUAUCAUCAAGGAGUUUUAUCAGGUGCGUCCUAAUUGGUUUCUAAGCAUAUCGUAUGUUCCAUGCAAACCGUGCAUCUAUCUUGCAUCAAGAUUAGCACUAUCUUCAAAUAGACCAAAUUGAGCUUUCACUUGAGCCCCUUGACCUAGGAGUACCAUCGGGUGCGUCCAAAAUGGUUUCUUAUCCUAUGGUACGUGCAAAGUGUGCACCUACUUUGCACCGAAAAUAACACUAUCUCUAAAUGGAUCGAAGUGAGAUUCCAUAUGACACAUGUCAUCAAGGAGUUCCAUCGGGUGCAUCCAAAUUGAUUUCCAAGCAUAUGGUAUGUUCCAUGCAAAUCGUGCACCUAUCUUGCAUCAAGACUAGCACUAUCUCUAAAGAGACCGAACCGAGCCUCCACUUGAGCCUCUUCACCUAGGAGUACCAAUAGGUGCUUCCAAAAUGGUUUCGUAGACUUUGGUGCAUUAGGCACAAACCGUGCACAUAACUUUCACCGAAACUAAUACUAUAUCUAAGCACACCAAAGCGAGAUUCCAUAUGACAUACGUCAUCAAGGAGUUCUAUCGGGUGUGUCCAAAUUAAUUCCUAAGCAUAUGGUACGUUCCAUGCAGACCAUGCAUCUAUCUUGCAUCAAGAUUAGCACUAUCUCCAAAUAGACCAAACCGAGCUUUCACUUGAGCCUUUUACCUAGGAGUACCAUCGGGUGCGUCCAAAAUGGUUUCUUAGCCUAUGUUGCAUUAUGUGCAAACUUUGCACCUAUCUUGCACCGAAACUAACACUGUCUCCAAGCAGACCAAAGUAAGAUUUUGUAUGACACACGUCAUCUAGGAGUUCCGUCAUGUGCGUCCAGAUUGAUUUCCAAGCAUUUGGUAUGUUCCAUGCAAACCGUGCACCUAUCUUGCAUCAGGAUUAGCACUUUCUCCAAACAGACCGAACUGAGCAUCCACUUGAGCCCCUUCAACUAGGAGUACCAACAAGUGCGUCCAAAAUGGUUUCUUAGGCUAUGGUGCAUUAGGUGCAAACUGUGCACCUAUCUUGCACCGAAACUAACAAUGUCUCCAAAUGGACCGAAGCGAGAUUCCAUAUGACACACGUCGUCAAGGAGUUCCAUCGAGUGCAUCCAAAUUGAUUUCCAAGCAUGUUAUGUUCCAUGCAAACCAUGCACCUACCUUGCAUAAGGAUUAGCACUAUCUCCAAACUGACCGAACCAAGCUUCCACUUGAGCCUCUUCACCCAAGAGUACCAAAUAGUGCAACCAAAAUGGUUUCUUAGACUAUGGUGCAUUAGGCGCAAAUUGUGCACCUAUCUUGCACUAAAACUUACAAUGUCUACAAACGGACUGAAGCAAGAUUCCAUAUGACGCAUGUCAUCUAGGAGUUCCAUUGGGUGCGUCCAAAUUGAUUUCUAAGCAUAUGGUAUGUUCCUUGCAAAUCAUGCACCUAUCUUGCAUCAAGAUUAGCACUAUCUCCAAACAGAUCAAACCGAGCUUCCACUUGAGCCUCUUCAUCGAAGUAGCAACAGGUGCUUCCAAAAUGGUUUCUUAGACUAUGGUGCAUUAGGCGCAAAGCAUGCAAAUAUCUUGUACCAAAACUAACACUAUUUCUAAACACAAGAAAGUGAGAUUCCAUAUGACCAUCAUCAAGGAGGUCCAUCUGGUGGAUCCAAAUUGAUUUCCAAGCAUAUGGUAUGUUCCAUGCAAACCGUGCUCCUAUCUUGCAUCAAGAUUAGCACUAUAUCCAAACAAACCGAACCGAGCAUCCACUUGAGGCCCUUCACCUUGGAGUACCAACGAGUGCGUCCAAAAUGGUUUCUUAGACUAUGGUGCAUUAGGUGCAAACUGUGCACCUAUCUUGCACCGAAACUAACAAUGUCUCCAAAUGGACCGAAAAGAGAUUCCAUAUGACACACGUCGUCAAGGAGUUCCAUCGGGUGCAUCCAAAUUGAUUUCCAAGCAUAUGGUAUGUUCCAUGCAAACCAUGCACCUACCUUGCAUAAGGAUUAUCACUAUCUCCAAACUGACUGAAUCAAGCUUCCACUUGAGCCUGUACAUCCAAGAGUACCAAAUAGUGCAUCCAAAUGGUUUCUUAGACUAUGGUGCAUUAGGCGCAAACUGUGCACCUAUCUUGCACUAAAACUUACAAUGUCUACAAACGGACCGAAGCAAGAUUCCAUUUGACACACGUCAUCUAGGAGUUCCAUUGGGUGCGUCCAAAUUGAUUUCUAAGCAUAUGGUAUGUUCCUUGCAAAUCAUGCACCUAUCUUGCAUCAAGAUUAGCACUAUCUCCAAACAUAUCAAACCGAGCUUCCACUUGAGCCUCUUCACCGAAGUACCAACAGGUGCUUUCAAAAUGGUUUCUUAGACUAUGGUGCAUUAGGCGCACACCAUGCACAUAUCUUACACAGAAACUAACACUAUUUCUAAACAGACCAAAGUGAGAUUCCAUAUGACACACGUCAUCAAGGAGUUCCAUCGGGUGGAUCCAAAUUGAUUUCCAAGCAAAUGGUAUGUUCCAUGCAAACCGUGCACCUAUCUUGCAUCAAGAUUAGCACUAUCUCCAAACGGACCAAACCGAGCAUCCACUUGAGCCCCUUCACCUAGGAUUACCAACAAGUGCGUCCAAAAUGGUUUCUUAGACUGUGGUGCAUUAGGUGCAAACUGUGCAGCUAUCUUGCACCAAAACUAACAAUGUCUCCAAAUGGACCAAAGCGAGAUUCCAUAUGACACACGUCGUCAUGGAGUUCCAUCGGGUGCAUCCAAAUUGAUUUUCAAGCAUAUGGUAUGUUCCAUGCAAACCAUGCACCUACCUUGCAUAAGGAUUAGCACUAUCCCCAAUCUAACUGAGCCAAGCUUCCACUUGAGCCUCUUCACCCAAGAGUACCAAAUAGUGCAUCCAAAAUGGUUUCUUAGACUAUGGUGCAUUAGGCACAAACUGUCCACCUAUCUUCCAAUAAAACUUACAAUGUCUACAAACGGACCGAAGCAAGAUUCCAUAUGACACACGUCAUCUAGGAGUUCCAUUGGGUGCGUCCAAAUUGAUUUCUAAGCAUAUCCUAUGUUCCUAGCAAAUCAUGCACCUAUCUUGCAUCAAGAUUAGCACUAUCUCCAAACAUAUCAAACCGAGCUUCCACUUGAGCCUCUUCACCGAAGUACCAACAGGUGCUUCCAAAAUGGUUUCUUAGACUAUGGUGCAUUAGGCGCAAACCAUGCACAUAGCUUACACCGAAACUAACACUAUUUCUAAACAGACCAAAGUGAGAUUCCAUAUGACACACGUCAUCAAGGAGUUCCAUCGGGUGGAUCCAAAUUGAUUUCCAAGCAAAUGGUAUGUUCCAUGCAAACUGUGCACCUAUCUUGCAUCAAGAUUAGUACUAUCUCCAAACAGACCGAACCGAGCUUCCACUUGAGCCUCUUCAUCUAGGAGUACAAAUAGGUGUGUCAAAAAUGGUUUCUUAAACUAUGGUGCAUUAGGCGCAAACUGUGCGCCUAUCUUGCACCGAAACUAAUAUUGUCUCCAAACAGACCGAAGCGAGAUUCCAUAUGACACACGUCAUAUAGGAAUUCCAUUAGGUGUGUCCAAAUUGAUUUCUUAACAUAUGGUAUGUUGCAUGCAAACUGUGCAACUAUCUUGCAUCAAGACUAGCACUAUAUCUAAAGAGACAGAACCGAGCCUCCACUUGAGCCUCUUCACCUAGGAGUACCAACAGGUGCUUUCAAAAUGGUUUCUUUUACUUUGGUGCAUUAGGCGCAAACUGUGCAUAUAUCUUGCACCGAAACUAAUACUAUCUCUAAGCACACCAAAGUGAGAUUCCAUAUGACACACAUCAUCAAGGAGUUCUAUCGGGUGUGUCCAAAUCAAUUUCUAAGCAAAUGGUAUGUUCCAUGCAGACCGUGCAUCUAUCUUGCAUCAAGAUUAGCACUAUCUCCAAAUAGAUCAAAUCGAGGUUUCACUUCAGCCUUUUACCUAGGAGUACCAUCGGGUGCAUCCAAAAUGGUUUCUUAGCCUAUGCUGCAUUAUGUGCAAACCUUGCACCUAUCUUGCACCGAAACUAACACUGUCUCCAAACAGACCAAAGCAAGAUUUUGUAUGACACACGUCAUCUAGGAGUUCCAUCAUCUGCGUCCAGAUUGAUUUCCAUGCAUUUGGUAUGUUCCAUGCAACCAUGCACCUAUCUUUCAUCAAGAUUAGCACUAUCUCCAAACAGACCGAAGCGAGCAUCCACUUGAGCCCCUUCACCUAGGAGUACCAACAAGUGCGUCCAAAAUGGUUUCUUAGACUAUGGUGCAUUAGGUGCAAACUGUGCCCCUAUUGAUGAGGACAUCAACACCAUCGAUAUAUCCGCACCUACACCAGUUGGUCCUCUUACUCAUGCUCGUGCCCGUCAACUCAACCUUCAAGUAAGUUCAGUUUUAAACUCUUGUCAAUCAUAUUUAGACAAUGGAGACACGUGCACUUUCGUGUUGCUCAGGAAUAAUGGACAAGAUCAGCAAGGGAAGGUUCAACUGCAUUCGGAAUUUGAGGCAACACCAACUUCAAGGGCUGAUUGCAUAUGGGAAGAGUGAUAACUUAACAAAGGUGAUUGGAGAUCAGGUCCAAGCCUCCACAACAUCCUCUAUCAAGUUACCACGUCACUUCUAAAGCAAGGAAACAAAGAGUCCAAACCCAACACGUUUUGGGAGUUGGAUUCGGACUGGAAAAUAACUCUAACUUGUAUGGAUCACCACGGCGUCAUAUGGACUCCAACUGGGACGUUCCUAUACUUGUUGGAAAGCUCAUGAAGUCUACUUUCCAAUGGGUCCAACCACAUAUCUAUGCAGCUUAUGAGUCGGGCGCAGUCCUUGUUUUUGUGCCACACCUUUUUCUGUUUUGGUGCUGCGUCACCCUAUUUUGGACCAAUGGCCCAUGUAUCAAGUUGAGUCCAUUAGGGACGCGUCCUAGGGUUGGAGGACGACUCUAGCACCCCUUUGGUCGUCCUCCCCUCUAUUUAUUUACAUCUAGAGCCGCCAUGAACAACUGGGUUUUGAUUAGAUAAAGUUUAGCCUUUGCUACUUGCUUGUAAACGCGCGUGCUGAUCCAGCCGCCCGUCUUCUUGUUUUCGAAACCCCACUUCAUUAGAGAUUGAGUUUGAAACCUUCAUUUACAUCUAGUAAUUUAGUACUUGUUCUACUUGUUCUUGCUGGUUCUUCGAUUGCUUGCAGGACGAGUGCCCUAGUGGCCGGGUGUUGCGCUCCACAAGAUCGUGACAGCCAUUGGAGGUGGUGUAUCGGUUGCUAAGGCGCGGUCUUGAGGGCUGUAGUCGGGCCGUGAACGUCAUCUCCAUUCACUAAUCGAGUUAUACAGCGCCUCUCAUCGAAAGCUCAGGCGAAAACUCUAGUGGGUUCACAUCCGUUGGUAAUCAGAGCAAGGUUUAUCGGUGAGAGAUUUUCAAUUCUUCGUGUUUGUUUUUUCCUAUAGUCCAAAAAAAGACAAAAAAUAUAGCAGAUUUGUUUUCCAUAAUCCUAUAAAUCCUUUGUGCCGUGGCUAGUACUACUUAGUUAGGGCUGGUUGAAUGAGUGUUUGCUUCGGUCGUGUCCAGUGCUGGUUUUAGUUUAGUCCUUUAGAGUUUUGAGUUCUUGUCACCAUCUAGUCACAACUGCAUCCAAUCUAUUGUGGGUUCGAAUUUGAGUAGAUCUUGAUAAUAGGUGCAGCCACUUGUUGGUCUAUUCUGCGUUUCCAUCAACGUUAUCCAAAAGGAAAGAUAGCACUUCAUACUUGUGCUAGAUAUAUUGAAUUUUGAGGUUCAGCCUUACUCUAGUGAGAGGGUGAGAGUGGUGAAGUGAUAUUUUGUACUAUUUUGUUUAUAUAAUCAGGUUUUGAGGUUCUCCAAAAAAAAGAAAAGAGAAAGAAAAAAAAAAGAAAGAAAAAAAAGAAAGAAAAAAAGAAAAAAAGAGAAAAAAAAUCAAAAAAAGGGAUUGUUGUUCCUUUUGUUUCCAGUAGGGCUGCUCAUUUUGUUUCUAGUGGUGUGCUGUGUUUUCCCUUUGUGUCCAGGCUCGCGUCUCUAGCACGGUCUAGGCUAGGACCAGCACAGUACCACCGUUGAGCGUUUAUUCAACUUGCUUUUUAUAACUAACGUGGUGCUAGUUCGAUCCUUGUUUCAGCCCACCUAUAGCUCCACAUAUUCUACAGCUUGAUAGGUUUUGUUGCUGCGGCACCGAUACACUUCGUCCAUUGCUGUGGAUUUGUUGGUAGCCAUUCCCUCCUGUUGAGCAAGGUAAGAAUUGGUAAGAACUUGUUAGACAGGUUGAUAGAGAGCGUCUUACAGUAGCCACAUCCUAAUAGCUGUAGGGUUUUUAUUUCUUCACCUAUUUUUCUUGUUUCCACUGUGUGUUUUUUUUAAACCAUGUCAGAGACAGAGGAUACCAACAAAAUUCCACAGUCACCUCGCACUAAGGGCAUCAUACAACAUUUUGAAAGGCAAGUGAAGCUACACACAGAGGGACUUGAUGACGACUUGAAGGUGACGAAUGACAAGCUUGGGCAGUUGGAGGACACGCAGAUUGCCACAAACAACAAGAUUACAAAGAUGGAGGCAUCUAUUACUAGUAUGGAUAAAAGUCUUGCUGCUCUUCUCAAACGCUUUGAUGACUUCCACACAAUGGACAAAGAGAAGCAUAAGGAAGAAAACAAGGAGGAAGACCGAGUGGAUGGCAAUUAUGAUGAUGAUUACACUGCUGAUACGGAACGAGAUGAUCAAGACACUCAUCAUCGACGUCGCCUACGUCACACACGUAGAGGUAUGGGUGGCCACCACCGACGCGAGGUACACAAUAAUAAUGAUGCUUUCAGUAAGAUUAAAUUUAAAAUACCUCCUUUCGAUGCAAGGGCUAUGGGCACGUACAGCGAGAAUGUCCAAACAAGCGUGUUUUGGUGGUUAACGCUGAUGGUGGGUAUUCCUCUGCUAGUGAUUUUGAUGACAAUACACGUGCUUUGCUUGCUGCUGAUGAUACAGGUAGGGAUGAAGCAAUAGAAGAGCAGAUAGGUACAGAGAAUGUAGAGCAUUAUGAGAGUCUUAUUGUGCAGCGUGUGCUUAGUGCUCAAGCGGAGAAGGUAGAGCAGAAUCAGCGGCAUACAUUGUUCCAAACAAAGUAUGUUAUUAAAGAGCGUUCUUGUCGUUUGAUUAUUGAUGGAGGUAGCUGCAACAACUUGGCUAGCAGCGACAUGGUGGAGAAGCUUGCACUUACCACCAAAUCACAUCCACAUCCAUAUCACAUUCGGUGGCUGAACAACAGUGGUAAGGCCAAGGUAACAAAACUAGUGCGAAUUAAUUUUACUAUUGGUUCAUACCAUGAUGUUUUUGAAUGUGAUGUUGUACCUAUGGAAGCUUGUAAUAUUCUGCUAGGUAGACCAUGGCAAUUUGAUAAGGAAUGUAUACAUCAUGGUAGAUCAAAUCAGUAUUCGUUUAUGCACCAUGAUAUGAAAAUUGUUUUGCUACCUAUGUCUCCCGAAGCUAUCGUAAGUGAUGAAGUUGCUAAAAUUACCAAGGCUAAAAUUAAGAACAAUGCAGAUACCAAUGGAAAUAACAGAGAUGAGAUAAGAUUAAAUGGACAUUGCAUGCUUGCUACUAAAUUUGAAGUUAAUGAACUAAUUGCUUCCACAUCUAUUGCUUAUGCUUUGGUAUGUAAGGGUGUUUUGAUUUCAAUUGAAGAUAUGCUGCAUUCUUUGCCCCCUGCUGUUCAUAACAUUUUGCAGGAGUAUGCUGAUGUUUUUCCAAGUGAGAUACCGGCAGGGCUGCCACCUAUACGUGGGAUUGAGCACCAAAUUGAUCUUAUUCCUGGUGCAUCUUUGCCAAACCGCGCGCCAUACAGGACAAAUCCAGAGGAAACAAAAGAGAUCCAGCGGCAAGUGCAAGAACUCCUCGACAAAGGUUAUGGAAUUGAGGUUGAUCAAGCCAAGGUAGAAGCUAUACAGGGAUGGCCUGUACUAAAGACAAUCACCCAGGUGCGGAGUUUCUUAGGACUUGCUGGGUUUUAUCGCCGUUUUGUGAAGGAUUUCAGCACCAUUGCUGCACCAUUGAAUGAGCUUACAAAGAAGGGAGUGCCUUUUGUGUGGAGCAAAGUACAAGAGAAUUCCUUCAACAUGUUAAAAGAUAAGUUAACACAUGCACCUCUCCUACAGCUUCCUGAUUUUAAUAAGACUUUUGAGCUUGAGUGUGAUGCUAGUGGGAUUGGUUUGGGAGGUGUUUUGCUACAAGAGGGUAAACCUGUUGCAUAUUUUAGUGAGAAAUUGAGUGGGCCUGUUCUGAACUAUUCAACUUAUGAUAAAGAAUUGUAUGCUCUUGUCCGAACUUUAGAAACAUGGCAACAUUAUUUGUGGCCCAAAGAGUUUGUUAUUCAUUCUGAUCAUGAAUCUUUAAAACAUAUUCGUAGUCAAGGAAAACUAAAUCGCAGACAUGCUAAGUGGGUAGAAUUUAUUGAAUCCUUUCCUUAUGUUAUUAAGCACAAGAAAGGGAAGGAGAAUAUCAUUGCUGAUGCUUUGUCAAGGAGAUAUACUUCGCUAAAUCAACUUGAUUACAAGAUUUUUGGAUUAGAAACGAUCAAAGACCAAUAUGUUCAUGAUGCUGAUUUUAAUGAAGUGUUGCUGCGUUGUAAAGAUGGAAAAGGAUGGAACAAAUUCAUCGUUAGUGAUGGGUUUGUGUUUAGAGCUAACAAGCUAUGCAUUCCAGCUAGCUCUGUUCGUUUGUUGUUGUUACAGGAAGCUCAUGGAGGAGGUUUGAUGGGACAUUUUCGAGCAAAGAAGACGGAGGACAUACUUGCUGAUUUGAAACCAUAUUUGGGUGAGGAACAUGAGCUUGAGUCGAGGACGACUCAAAUCCAAGAAAGGGAGGAUGAUGAGGACAUCAACACCAUCGAUAUAUCCGCACCUACACCAGUUGGUCCUCUUACUCAUGCUCGUGCCCGUCAACUCAACCUUCAAGUAAGUUCAGUUUUAAACUCUUGUCAAUCAUAUUUAGACAAUGGAGACACGUGCACUUUCGUGUUGCUCAGGAAUAAUGGACAAGAUCAGCAAGGGUAGGUUCAACUGCAUUCGGAAUUUGAGGCAACACCAACUUCAAGGGCUGAUUGCAUAUGGGAAGAGUGAUAACUUAACAAAGGUGAUUGGAGAUCAGGUCCAAGCCUCCACAACAUCCUCUAUCAAGUUACCACGUCGCUUCUAAAGCAAGGAAACAAAGAGUCCAAACCCAACACGUUUUGGGAGUUGGAUUCGGACUGGAAAAUAACUCUAACUUGUAUGGAUCACCACGGCGUCAUAUGGACUCCAACUGGGACAUUCCUAUACUUGAUGGAAAGCUCAUGAAGUCUACUUUCCAAUGGGUCCAACCACAUAUCUAUGCAGCUUAUGAGUCGGGCGCAGUCCUUGUUUUUGUGCCACACCUUUUUCUGUUUUGGUGCUGCGUCACCCUAUUUUGGACCAAUGGCCCAUGUAUCAAGUUGAGUCCAUUAGGGACGCGUCCUAGGGUUGGAGGACGACUCUAGCACCCCUUUGGUCGUCCUCCCCUCUAUUUAUUUACAUCUAGAGCCGCCAUGAACAACUGGGUUUUGAUUAGAUAAAGUUUAGCCUUCGCUACUUGCUUGUAAAUGCGCGUGCUGAUCCAGCCGCCCGUCUUCUUGUUUUCGAAACCCCACUUCAUUAGAGAUUGAGUUUGAAACCUUCAUUUACAUCUAGUAAUUUAGUACUUGUUCUACUUGUUCUUGCUGGUUCUUCGAUUGCUUGCAGGACGAGUGCCCUAGUGGCCGGGUGUUGCGCUCCACAAGAUCGUGACAGCCAUUGGAGGCGGUGUAUCGGUUGCUAAGGCGCGGCCUUAGAAGGCUGUAGUCGGGCCGUGAACGUCAUCUCCAUUUACUAAUCGAGUUAUCCAGCGCCUCUCAUCGAAAGAUCAGGCGAAAACCCUAGUGGGUUCACAUCAGUUGGUAAUCAGAGCAAGGUUUAUCGGUGAGAGAUUUCCAAUUCUUCGUGUUUGUUUUUCCUAUAGUCCAAAAAAAGAAAAAAAAAUAUAGCAGAUUUGUUUUCCAUAAUCCUAUAAAUCCUUUGUGCCGUGGCUAGUACUACUUAGUUAGGGCUGGUUGAAUGAGUGUUUGCUUCGGUCGUGUCCAGUGCUGGUUUUAGUUUAGUCCUUUAGAGUUUUGAGUUCUUGUCACCAUCUAGUCACAACUGCAUCCAAUCUAUUGUGGGUUGGAAUUUGAGUAGAUCUUGAUAAUAGGUGCAGCCACUUGUUGGUCUAUUCUGCGUUUCCAUCAACGUGAUCCAAAAGGAAAGAUAGCACUUCAUACUUGUGCUAGAUAUAUUGAAUUUUGAGGUUCAGCCUUACUCUAGUGAGAGGGUGAGAGUGGUGAAGUGAUAUUUUGUACUAUUUUGUUUAUAUAAUCAGGUUUUGAGGUUCCCCAAAAAAAAGAAAAGAGAAAGAAAAAAAAAUAAAAAAAAGAAAGAAAGAAAGAAAAAAUAUCAAAAAAAGGGGAUUGUUGUUCCUUUUUGUUUCCAGUAGGGCUGCUCAUUUUAUUUCUAGUGGUGUGCUGUGUUUUUCCUUUGUGUCCAGGCUCGCGUCUCUAGCACGGUCUAGGCUAGGACCAGCACAGUACCACGGUUGAGCGUUUAUUCAACUUGCUUUUUAUAACUAACGUGGUGCUAGUUCGAUCCUUGUUUCAGCCCACC